UUUUUUUUUUGCUGAUAGAGGUCUCGAUCUCUUAUUCAUAUAUUAGCAUUAAUCAAUCUGGAAUUAGAUGGAGCUAUAUCACGAACUCAGAUUUGUACAAUGUCAAUUUCCAUUUAAUCGGAUGAUCUAACAACUCAAUCAAAAUUAGUUAUCAAUGUAAAUGAGGAUAUCUCAUUAUAAGCUCUGAGGAGUAUGAAUUGGAGGUCAAGAAAAACUGCUAAUGGAUAUACCUUUAUAUGUUUAGCUUUUAAUAGCUAGGCUUUAAUGGUUUCCAAAAACGUUACUCCAAGUGUAUCUUAAGCAAUAUGAAUCUAGAGUUAGUUAUUUAUUUUCCAAUCUCAAUACUUAGAGUAAAUAUGAUGUACACUCAUGUCAUAAAUAUAAAUUAGCAAUUUUGUACCGUUGACCAAAGGUUGCAGCAUAUCAACAAAUUUGUAAAUUUAUAUUUUUCACGCAUGAAUAUAGAAUUUCAAAAUUCAUGCGUGAAUAUGCGAAAAUUCAAAAUUCAAAAUAUGAAAUGGGAUCAUGUAUAAAAGAAUAAACAUUUGAAUUCACAAACAAAAUAUGCACACAAAAAUAAACACUAGCCCGUGCGAAUGCACGGUUGACGACUAGUUUUUUGCAGAUGGGUGGAAGAAAAUGUUGCACGAAAUCUUGCAAGCACCUAAAAAAGCUGAGGAUAUUUGAUGUCGCGAAGUUUUAGAUUUUGUUUUAAUUUACUCUUCAGGGGGGUGUAGGGACACCCAGGAGCUAACACGCCUUUCUCACGUUGCAAUGAUUUUGCAUAUAUACAGUAAGAGAGAAAAUUCUGUGUGAGGAUCUCAUGCUGCAAUGAUCGGACGACCCAGAUCUCAGAUUUAAUUAAGUGAGAUACCACGGCCGGGAAGGUAAGCCAAUGUAGGGGCAUACUCUGCUCACCGGAUCGAUGAUUAGGGUUUCUCCUGUGUUGGAAUUAACCACGUCGUUACAGUCCAGCUAGGACACAAAUCAGUCACCGUGUAGGAUUAGGAGAGUAUAGCUAGUCUCGCCGUGUUCGUCGUGUGUGCAUGUAUUAGUCACGUCAAGAAUCGAUCCACCUGCUUGCUCCUGUGUACGUGCCUAUCAACACAGUGGAAUCAACUAGCUUUGCUCGUGUCCUGCGUAUCCCGGCGAAAUCAAAGUCUACGUACGCGCAGUCUAGCUAGGUACACGGCCGGAAUGUACUCGGCCGAAUCGAUGACUGGCCCUCCGGCCAUGGCAUUGGCGGGUGCAGACUGGUCCUCUCUCCCGUGCGACCUCGUCCGCCGCAUCGCCGACUCCUUCCUCACCACAAACCACAUGGACUGCUAUGUGGACUUGCGCGCUGUGUGCCACAACUGGCGCUCCGCCACCGACGACCCGAGCGACGCCUCCGACCCUCGCUUCCGCCCGCACCGGUGGAUCAUCCUCGACGACGACGAGGCCUUGGAGAGCGACACGCGCCGCCUCUUGGUCAACACCGCCAGCGGCCGGUUCCUCCACAGGGAGCUGCCGCUGCUCCGCGACUACUAUGUCGUCGCCACCACUCUCAACGGCUUCUUCGUCUUGGCCGAGAAGAGCCCCCCUCAUGCCGCUCGCGUCUUCAACCCCCUCACCGGCGCCAUGAUCCGGUUCGCGGCGCCCGUGCCGCCCGACGGGGAGGUCGCCGCUGCCCUGAGGUUUGGCAUGGCUUUGCCCAUGCUCACCUUAAUCUGCGACUCGUCUCGCAAGCAUUACGUGGCCUUUUCUGAUUAUGAAUGUUUCACCAGCCGUGAGUACAAUGAUAGCAGUUACCACGCACCUUAUAAUUUCGCACGCAGGGCGAUCAGAGAUGGUUUCGACGGCGCCUUGCCGGGAUUAACGGGAUUAAGUGAAGUGGUCGACCACAUCGGUGAUUUGAUGAGGCUGCAUCAUGCUCAGCCCGCUAACUUUUUCUCCAAUCAUCCUCCUGAGACGGGACAUGCAGACGAUGGCCGGUGUUUCCUUGUGCAAUGUAGCGGACAGCUGCUCAUCGUGCUCAAGGUACAGCGAGUCGUUAGGCUUCUCAAGCUUGAGCCCACGAGUGACCAGCUUGUGUGUUUGAGGACCAUCGGCAACCAUAACCAUGCCAUCUUCAUCGGUCAUCAAAGGUGCCUGGCUGUCUGUGCUGAUAAGUUCCCAUCCGUUGAGGCAAACUGCGUCUAUUACACCGAACACGUGGGUUCGUUCGCUCACAUCUACAAGUACAGCCUCCGGGGCGACAAAAGAGAGAUGAUCUCUGCCAUUGAUUUCGUGAAGCAGGGCAAGCGGUUUGUCCCUGUCGGUGCCCGUCCUUUCACCAUCAUCCAGCUUCUCUUGAGCUACACCAUCAAUGCCCGGGAUUCUCAACUGGCUAUGGCUUACAACAAGUCACAAUCAGGCGCAUUGACUUGACUUGUUGGGGUGGUGGACUCUAAAUUAGAUUGCAGUCUUAAUUAGGAAUUGAUCUGAGCCCAAUGUUCCAUCUGCUAUGCUUGAUGCUCUCUUGUGUCGGUGUACACUCAUUCUUCCGUAGUAGAGCUCAGUUUGUGCGAAUUUCUAAAUUUUGCUAUGUCAAAUUUGCAAUGUCAUAUUCUAGGCAAGCAGCAAGUUUUAGAUUUUCCUACCAUUGGUCUGUGGGACUGCUGUACGCUCCAUCCACGCUUAGGCCAACUCCACCGCACGACCCCAAACGGACGUCCGUUUUGUCCGGUUUCUGUCCGUUUGGGUAGGGAUUUGGGGUCGUGUCCGGGCCUGUCCUGGGAUGCGGUGGCUGUGCGCCCAGCGCGCGGCCGCAUCCAUUUGCCCCAUCCUGUCCGUCAGGGCCAAAAAUGCCCAAAUUUGCAUCAAAACUAGUUUCCAAUCCAAAUAUUUGUCUGAAAAUUAAAAUAGUUUUACAACCCGAUUGAAAUUGUCUUUAAUAAAAUAGUUUUACAACCAAAUCGAAAUUGUCUUGACUGAACAUAAAUUGGACCAACACAUCUAUUGGUUGCCAAUGUGAUCCCAGACGUGCUCAACCAAGUCAUUUUGAAGAUUCAAAUGAGUGUGCCAAUCACGCAUCUCACGGUGGAAUUGGACAAACUGUUCAAAUGUGGCCGGGUCUUGGUGCAGGGGCUCAAUAUUUUCACCUUGAUAAUCAAAUCCUUGGUCGAAGAUACUCUCGUCACGCUCGUCCUCGACGAUCAUGUUGUGCAUGAUCACACAAGCAGUCAUCACCUCCCAAAGCUUCCUUUCAUUCCAUGACAGUGCAGGGUUUCGAAAGAAACCCCACCGAGAUUGAAGCACACCAAAAGCACGUUCCACAUCCUUUCUAACACUCUCUUGCAUUUGGGCAAAUCUCUUUCUCUUCUCACCUUGGGGUUUCGAGAUUGUCUUUACAAAAGUUGACCACUGAGGAUAUAUACCAUCACUAGUAGAAAAGGGGGCAAUGGUCCAGGCCAGGUCAGCCCAUUAGUCCCGGUUCAAUCCAGAACCGGGACCAAUGGGGGCAUUGGACCCGGUUCGUGAGCCCCGGGGGCCGGCCGGGCCACGUGGGCCAUUGGUCCCAGUUCGUCUGGACCUUUUGGUCCCGGUUGGUUGGACGAACCGGGACCAAUGGUCCUUGCUCCCGGCCCACCACUAUUGGUCCCGGUUGGAGGCAUGAACGGGACCAAAGGCCGCCCAUUAGUCCCGGUUCAUACCACCAACCGGGACUAAAGGGUUGGUCCUCGUUGCGGCCAGAGUUUAGUCCCACCUCGCCAACCGAAGGAGGCUCACACCGGUUUAUAAGCCCCUCCCUCCCUGCCUUGUUGAGCUCCUCUCAAAAUGAAUAGAUGCCCUUAAACAGGGAAUUUGACCUAAAUUCAUACUGAAUUUCUCUAAAGUUAGUAGAAAUUUAUUAUGAAUUUAGGUUGAAUUUUCUCUAUAAGCGCAUCUAUGCUCAUUUUUUUAGUAAAGUUAAUCACAACUAUUUUUUUCUUCUAUUUAUUUCUGAGUAGUUUUUUAUAUAGUUUUUUUCUUUUUUGCUAUAUUUCUUUUUUUCUAUUUAUUUCUGAGUGGUAAUAAGUCAUUAAAAAUAAGCAUCUAUGCUCAUUUUUUUAGUAAAGUUAAUCACAACUAUUUUUUCUUCUAUNNNNNNNNNNNNNNNNNNNNNNNNNNNNNNNNNNNNNNNNNNNNNNNNNNNNNNNNNNNNNNNNNNNNNNNNNNNNNNNNNNNNNNNNNNNNNNNNNNNNNNNNNNNNNNNNNNNNNNNNNNNNNNNNNNNNNNNNNNNNNNNNNNNNNNNNNNNNNNNNNNNNNNNNNNNNNNNNNNNNNNNNNNNNNNNNNNNNNNNNNNNNNNNNNNNNNNNNNNNNNNNNNNNNNNNNNNNNNNNNNNNNNNNNNNNNNNNNNNNNNNNNNNNNNNNNNNNNNNNNNNNNNNNNNNNNNNNNNNNNNNNNNNNNNNNNNNNNNNNNNNNNNNNNNNNNNNNNNNNNNNNNNNNNNNNNNNNNNNNNNNNNNNNNNNNNNNNNNNNNNNNNNNNNNNNNNNNNNNNNNNNNNNNNNNNNNNNNNNNNNNNNNNNNNNNNNNNNNNNNNNNNNNNNNNNNNNNNNNNNUUUUCUGCUAUAUUUUUAUUUAUUUAUUUAUUUUUGAGUGGUAAUAAGUCAUUAAAAAUAAGCAUCUAUGCUCAUUUUUUUUGUAAAGUUAAUCACAGCUAUUUUUUCUUCUAUUUAUUUUUGAGUAAUUUUUUAUAUAGUUUUUUUCUUUUCUGCUAUAUUUAUUUUUUUCUAUUUAUUUCUGAGUGGUAAUAAGUCAAUAAAAAUAAAAAAGAGGCGCAAUGCUUGUUAAUUUGCUUCAAGCCUUUCGAAAUAGUGUAAACUGCACUGCACAUAGCUCCGUGCAGUCUACCCUAUUCCUCAAGGCUUGAAGUGAACCAACGUGCAGGUGAGCAUUGAGCCUCUUCUUCAUCGUCUCUGCACUCAGGGCUUAUAAAUAGCUGCGAGUGCCUCUCGCUUGGCGAGGUGGGACUAAAAAAACAGCUGCAGAAAGAAUCAACUAAAAACAGUUGCAGAAAAUAAAUAAGUAAUUAGACGGGUCCAUUGGUACCGGUUGGUGGCUCCAACCGGGACCAAUGCCCCUCUUUAGUCCCGGUUGGUGGCACCAACCGGGACCAAUGCCCCUCUUUAGUCCAGGGUGGUGGCACCAACCGGGACCAAAGGUCUUUGUUUCCCGCCCUUUGGGCUGCUGAAAAGAGGCCUUUGGUCCCGAUUGGUGCCACCAACCGGGACUAAAGGGGGCAUUGGUCCCCGUUUGUGCCACGAACGGGGACCAAAGCCUUUGCUAUAUAAAUAGCACUUAGGAAAAUUUCAGAACCGCAUCCCCACUUCGAUCUCUCCUUCUCCUCUCUCGACGCCGCGCGUCAUCCCCUGCCGCCACCUCGCCGUUGCUGCCCCGCCCCGACGUCGCCGCCCCGGCCAGCGCCGCCCCGACGCCGUCGCCUCCCCGCGCCGCACCUCGCCGUGAGCAACUUUUUAUGAUUUUUGUUAGAUUUUUUUUAGAUUUUUUGUAGUUCAUAGAUUUUUUUGUUAGAUUAGAUAUAUAGUAAUUUAGAUAUGUAGUUCAUAGUAUGUUAAUUUAGAUUGUGUAAUUAAUUUGUUCAUAUUGUGUUAGAUUUUUUUUCUGUUAAUAGAUUUUUUGGUGAUAUUAUUGUUGAAUAUGCAUGUUUGGUGAUAUUAUUGUUAAUAGAUUUUUUUGGUGAUAUUUAGAUUGUGUAAUUAAUUUUGUUCAUAGAAUUUUAAUGACUUUUUUGUUCAUAGUAUUUAGAAAAAAGGAAAAAAUAAGAAGAGAAAGUGUUUAAUAUAAUUAGUUAGAAAAAUACUAGUUUAUUUUUAGUAAGUACUAUUUUAUUUUAUUUAUAGUAAGUGCUUCAUAUAUAGUUGAACUAGCUAGUUGAUUUAAUAAACUAAUUUAUUUUACCAUAUAUAGAAGUAGUUUGUAGUAAGUGCUACUUUAUUUAUUUAUAGUAAGUGCUACUUUAUUUAUUUAUAGUAAGUGCUACUUUGUUUUUAGUAAGUACUAGUUUAUUUAUUUAUAGUAAGUGCUUAGUAGUUGAACUAGAUAGUUGAUUUAAUUAAUAAAACUACUUUAUUUAACUAUAUAUAGAAGUAGUUCCCGCAUUGACGUCGGUGAUGCCUAUCCCGCAUCCUCGUCGUCGUUGACUCGGCGGUGGAGGCCUGCUUGAUCAGGGCCAUGUUCGGGACUGGGCUUCGCCGGGCUGGUAUUGGAAGGUGCUACCUUCCGAGGGACGUAGGUUGGUGAGGAGGCAGCCCGUUAUUGACCCGAUCCUUGUUUGGUGGCGGUCGCGUGGGCCAGUGACGGUGCUGAGACUUCCGGACACCGCGGAGGUGGUACGUCACCGUGUCAGCGAGGAGGACGAGCACGUCCAUCGCUAUAUGGUUGCAUUGGAGGGCAGGUUCGACAAUACCUGGCAGGUUCUUUAGGAAUCUCACUGGAGCUAUGAUCCUGUGAUGGUUCCUUAUCUUUGGGUGUCCACCGCCCGCGACAAUACCCGUCGGGUGCUACGGUUCUAGUUGUAUUAGUGAUGCUAUAUUAGUGAUAAUAUUCGAUGAUGUACGGACACCAAGAGAUGAUGUACUUUUGCUUAUAAUUAUUGAAUGCAUGCUAAUUUGAAUACUACUUUAUUUUAUGAUUUGGUUUUGCUUAUUUUAUGAUUUGGUUUUGCUUAUUGAAUGCUCAUAUUGGAUAAGUUCUCCUUCAUUCCCGUGUGCUAGACAAUUUGGUGUAAUAAUGCACUCCGGAAUGAAAGGAGGAGCUACGUACAUCACCGAUAGUCAACCCGUGAUAAAUAAUAAUGAUCUAGUUCAAUAUUUGAAUUAUGAACAUAGGCCGGAAAUGUCGUACUCGGACAACGAAAACCGCCCGGGGGAGACUGGUGCCACGACGACCGAGGUAUGUGCGACAGGUUCAUUGAGCUGGACGAAGAUCGGCGCUUCAGCAUUAAGCUCGAGGAGACCUUCGAUGUUCUACAGUACACAACGACGACAAUAGUUUUUUUCGUAAUUAAGCAUGACUUCAACUAUUUUAACGUAUAUUUUUCAUCUUUUCCAAUUCGACUAGCUUAUCCCAUGCUUUGCAAGACGCUAUGUCUUGGAGAGAAUGGGUUUUGAAGACCAUGAAAGUAUGGAAACCAAAAAAAUUAUCCUAAGUAUCCAUCAUGGUGUGGAUUUUCAAGUAAAGAUGUACAAUGCUCAGAGUGUAACCCAUUUUGGUUGCAAAAAUUGGGAAGCACUUUGCAAGAUAUAUGGUUUUGAUGAGGGUAUGCUUGUCACCAUGGAUCUUGGUGAUCCUAUAAUCGAGCAAGAGAGACCUUCGAUUUGCGUCCUUGUAGAUACACCUCCAAUUCUUCCCCCAUGUGAGCUUAACAUAGUUAUUAAGUAAUUUAUAUUGUUUAUUUAAAAAUAGUUGACAACUUAUUUCUAUUGACAGCUUAUUUUCAUUCUUCAAAGAAUGUGCGGAAGAUGGUAGACAGAACCUACUACACCGAAGGCUCCAAAUUAACUUAUCAGGAGAAAAAUCAUCUGGUCGCAUUUUGUACUGAUCUUGAGAAUUACAAUAUCUACAAUCAAACUCCUCAACAUUAUGGUCAAUACGUGCCACUAGUGCACUUGUUGAACUACGGUAACUACCAUGGAGAUACCCUGGUAAGAUUUUUUACUAUUACGACAUCUGUGCAUCUUUUUGCACACUUCUAAAACUAGUACAUCAUUGCUAACUACGAAGUUAUUACUAUGUUUUUCAACAGAUAAUCCCAAAUGAUUGUGUGCCUCAUCUCAUGUAUACGCACGGUAUCCUUCAUGUUUUGAACAUACAACCAGGUCUUCCUACGAAUCUCAACUGUCCAUACCGGGUUUCUAAAAGAAGUGGAGACAUGACAAUCAAAGAAUGGAAAAAAUGUAUGGACAGUCGUAAGGAGCUUCUUGGAAGCAAAAAGCAGCGAAGGGCAAGAAUUGGAGACAGGAUGAUCGCCAUUCUUCAUAAUGGAGAGUCAGGGUCUAUAUUGUUUUAUGCUAUUUUACCUUAAGGGUGUUUAGGUCCUACCUGAUACUGAUGAUCAUGUGCUAAGAACAAUUAUGUAGGGUUGGGUUCGAUGACUAUGAGGAUGAUGAUCGUAUGACUUAUUAUUAAUAACGAGAAGAAGUUGUAUGAUGAUGCAUGAUUAGUAGGACUUGUUAUUAUAUAUGAUGAUGUAUGAUGCGAGCAUGCAUGAGUUAUUAUAUCAGCGGGUGAAAUGAACAUAUAUAGCAGCAGCGUUGGUAAACCAAGGACAAAGAUAUAAGAGAGGACACUUCUCUCUAUUAGCUAGCUAAUAACAACCUAAAAAUAACCCCCAAAACCCCUAAAGCAGCCAUUUUUCUAAAAGGCCCCCGGUUGGUGUCACCAACCGGGACCAAAGGCCCCCUGACUGGGCUCGGCGCACAGGCCACAUGGAGGCACAUUGGUCCCGGUUCGUGUUUGAACCGGGACUAAUGGGUGGAGGUAUUAGGAACGACCCAUUAGUCCCGGUUCAUGAACCGGGACUAAAGGCCCUUACGAACCGGGACUAUUAGGUGUUUUUCUACUAGUGCAUCUGCUAGAUACUAUCCCUUGUUGUACUGGUGGCCGUUGAUCUCAAAGUUGACAGGUGGGGAGUGGCCUUCUGCAAGCCUCACGAAGACUAGAGAACGCUGCAGCACAUUGAUAUCAUUGUGAGAACCUGCCAUACCGAAGAAAGAAUGCCAUAUCCAAAGAUCUUGCGAUGCCACCGCUUCUAAUAUGACACUGCACCCGUUAACAUGCCCCUUGUACUGGCCCUGCCAAGCAAAUGGACAGUUCUUCCACUCCCAAUGCAUACAAUCUAUACUGCCAAGCAUGCCUGGAAAGCCUCUAGCUGCGUUGGUCGCCAACAACCUCUCUGUAUCAGCGGCAGUUGGCUGCCUCAAGUACUCUGGGCCAAACACCUCGAUCACAGCCGGGCAAAACUUGUACAUUGAUAUCAGACAUGUUGUCUCACUCAUACGCACAUACUCGUCCACCAGAUCGCCUGGAAUACCAUAUGCAAGCAUGCGGAUGGCCGCGGUGCAUUUCUGGUAAGAGGAGAAUCCAAGCUUGCCAAGGGCAUCCGUCUUGCACUCGAAGUAUGGGUCAUGAGCAACCACUCCCUCUCGGAUACGAUUGAACACAUGCCUUGCCAUACGAAAACGGCAACAAAAUUUAUCCGUCUUGAAGAGCGGGGUGUUGGCAAAGUAAUCAGCAUAGAGCAGGGCGUGCUGUUGCGGUUCAGGUUGGGAGCACGGCCAGGGAGUGACCCCCUGUACCGAGGAAGCUGUCGUUGAAUAUGGUCGUGAACGACCAGUGCAGCCACCACAAGAUCUUCAUCAUCCGACGACGAAUCGUUCGAUGAACAAAGGAAGUGAUGAAAGAAAAACUCGUCUCCACUGUCCAUACCUUUGAUGGCAAAAGGUCGAACACCUUGCGGUCGUGGUGGCGAAGAGGCUGUGAUGAUCACCUCGACGCAGCAGGGGUGGUUGCCGGCCGGCUACUGGCCGCUCUGGAGCUCUCGUCGGAAUCUGCCUCGGCCGUCGUGGUCUGUCGCCGGCAGUCGUGUCCCCUCCGCCACCGGCAAGGACGGCGACAGCCAAACCUCCCCCGAUAGACGACCAAAACUACGGUGAAAGUGCGGGCGUGGUGGCGGCCAUGUUGAUACGUGGUUUGGUAUGGACGGCGGGGGGCUGCGCGGUGAGGAGGCGGCCGAAGAAUAGGGGCGGCGCCAGCGGCGGGGCGGGCGGGGAGAGAGGGUGAAGCGUUGGGAGAGGAGGGACUGCUAGUGUCCCCGACAGGCGGGCCACGGGGAGGGACAAGGGCGUACGUCGUGGCCAUCCGCGCACGUCCGGUUCACCCCAAACCGAGCGCAAGUUUGGGCCGGGGAUGGGUCGAAAACGGACGGAAUCCGGACGUUUGUCCGUUUGAGGCCGCGCACUGGGCCGCCUCUUUUGUCCGUUUUACCCCAAACGGACGAGGGCGGACAGGAUAAGGUCGCGCGGUGGAAUUGGCCUUAGAACAAGGUUGCAAGUUUGUUUUAUCUAUGCUUCACCGGCCCCUUGUAAUACUUUCUUUGGAUUUCUGGGUGUUACCGCACAAUUGCUGUUGAGAACUGAAGAUGUGCUUCGCAGCAGCUCUACAUACAUAAAUUUCUGACACAAUAUGUAGAUGUUAUUUCGAGAUUCAGAUGUUCACGUAUUUAUGUCGGACAGGUGUUUCACUAUUACUCCCUCCAGUCCUUUUUAGUUUGCAUAUAAGUUUUGUCAAAGGUCAAAGUAUCUCUACUUUGAUCAAAUUUGUAGAAAAUAGUAUCAACAAUCACAAUGCCAAAACGAUAUUGUUAGAUUCUUUAUGAAAUAUAGUUUCAUAGUGUAUUAUAUAUUUUGUGUUAUAGAUGUUACACUAGUAGAAAAACACCUAAUAGUCCCGGUUCGUAAGGGCCUAUAGUCCCGGUUCAUGAACCGGGACUAAUGGGUCGUUACUAAUACCUCCACCCAUUAGUCCUAGUUCAAACACGAACCGGGACCAAUGUGCCUCCACGUCGCCCUAUGCGCCGAGCCCACUCAGGGGGGCUUUGGUCCCGGUUGGUGGCACCAACCGGGACCAAAAGUUCAUGUUUUUUUAGAAAAGUGGCUGCUUUAGGGGUUUUGGGGGUUAUUUUUUGGUUGUUAUUAGCUAGCUAAUAGAGAGAAGUGUCCUCUCUUAUAUCUUCGUCCUUGGUUUACCAACGCUGCUGCUAUAUAUGUUCAUUUCACCCGCUGAUAUAAUAACUCAUGCAUGCUCGCAUCAUACAUCAUCAUAUAUAAUAACAAGUCCUGCUAAUUAUGCAUUGUCGGUGCGAGGACGACACUUAUGGGAUCACGAGAAUCCCUACUACGGUUGCGGGGCGCGGGAUUGUGAGAAGGGCAGAUCGAACAGAUAGCACACUAGUUCUUUUAUCCAGGUUCUGGCCGCGAGGAUGCGUAAAACCCUACUCCUGCCUUGAUGGUUUGUUUAUCUGUGUUCUUCAGCUAGCAAUGGGGCGUGAGGAGCUCCAAAAAGCCGAAUCCCCCUCCUGGUCGCCUUGGGCCUCCUUUUAUAGGGAAAGGGGUUGUCACAGUGGCACACAGGAGGUGGAAAGGGCACAGUGAUACGAGUUUAUUCCUCGCAUUACAUGACAAGGCGCAUUUAAUACGUCGUGCUUAGGUGUCCCUGCUUUAUCGGGGACGAGGGAGAGCCCAGUCUUAUCCGUCGCCGACCUCUUUCGCGUCGGCACGCGCCCUGGCCAGCGGUGCCCAUGGUGCCAUGUAGGCAGGCAGGCAGCUGAGGUGGCGCAGCGGUGGGUCUCCAUGAAGAUCCGCUUGCCGCCACGCAGGUGCCUGCCCAACUGGUUGGGUCGGCGGCUGCAUGCGAACGGUGGUAGAGGUUGGAUUUGGCAUGGGCCUGAUGGUGGCCCUACGGGUGUCCUUGGCAAGGGCCUCGCCGUAGCCCCGGCAAGGGUCUUGCCGUGGCGCCUGUUGUCAUCCCCGGCAAGGCUCUUGCCAGGGGCCUUGUGGUCCUCCUUGGCUGGGAUCCCGCCAAGGGUCGUCAUCUUCUAUAGUGUGUAUCUGAUCUUGAAUGUCUUCACAAAGAUCUGCAUGCAACCACGGGGAUGUCUCCCGAAUCCUUGCCCCACGGGGGCAGUGGACUCAAGGGUGAUUCGCUCCGUAGGUGUGGGGCGAGCUGCCACAGCAAGGGUCUUGCCGGGUUUGCUAAAACCGCCCCCGGCAAGGAUCUUGCCGGGGGGUACGCUUCGUCCCCUUUGCUCUUUGUGGUCUUGGUCUUGGCGUCGUUCUGCUCCUUUCGGGCUUCGGCCUUACCAUGGCUCACCUCCCUUGCCUUGCUCGGUGCGGUGGCGUCCGUGGCUCGGACUGCCCGUGCACAGUAAUAGGGGUACAAAAAGUGUACCCCUCUUUUUGUACACCAACAGGAGCCCCCGGGCCUGGGCCAUACGUAAGCGUAAUCACGUCGUUGGGCUAGGCCCAAAAAAGGUGCGCGGGCAGGCGGGGUAGUUUUUACCGCGGUAAGUUUCUUCGUGCGUUGCGCUUCCCAUGGCUCCCGCGCGUGGCUCGGCGUGGGGAGGCGUGCGUGACGUGGGCGGCAUGCAUGGGGCUGAGCUCUGCGCGCAUGCGUCAUGUCGUAGUAAAAGGGGGCGGUUCGCGCCUUCCCCAUAAAUGGAGGGAGGCGUGGAGGCUCGACCCAUUCACUGAUCGGGGCCGUGGCGUGGUCUUCAAGGCGCCCACCCCCUAUGAUCACGGGGUGGGGAGAGGUCACCUCACCCGUCGCCUCGGUCCUGCAUGCCUGCCACGUGGUUCCCAUGCGCUCAGGGUGGUGAACGGUGGAGGCGGGGAACCGGGCCGUCGCGGGCCGGGGCAGCGAGUUGGUCCCAGUUCCCUGCGCCUUCAGCGUCUUGAUUGGCUGAGUGGGGUGGCCGAGCCCCCAUCCCGGCUCUUUAAAAAGAGCCGGGGGGAAGGAAAUGGCGUCCUGCACUCUUCCAUCUUCUCUUUCCUUCAGCUUCUGCUCCCCCCCUCCCUCCAUCUGCCAUGGAGAGAGGGAAUCCUGGCUCUUCAAUGGUGGCAGCGAGGGUCGCCGCUCGACAACGCGCCCUCCCUUCCCCUUUACACGCGGUGACAGAGCCAGCCGCGAGGGGAAGGGGAAGGGGGCGAGGCUGCGGGCGAGGCCGUGGGCGAGGCCGAGGUGCUCAGGGAACAGGAGAACGGGGCGGCGCGCCGGUCUCGCCUUCGCCAGUAGUUCCUCCCCCCAUGGAGGGCCACGUUGGGGAUGACCCUUACGAGUUCUUCGUCAGACUGCGCCGGUCGCCUCGCCGUCGUCUUCGUCUCCCGACUCCAUUUGCGAGCGAGAUGGAGCUGGAUCCGCCAGAGUCCUUGCGGUUGCACAUGAGGGGCUGUUGGAUCAGCGGUACGCGAGCUCGCGUCAACUUCCCAGCCCCUCACGUGAUGUAUCUUGGCCGAGGGUGGAAGACGUUCGCUCAUAUCCACCGCUUGACGGAGGGGCUCACCCUCCAUUUCAAGCUGAUGGAGGGCGGCCUCCUCUCUGUCAAGGUCUUUGGGUGCUUCGGGACUCGGGCAAGGUGCUGCGUGGAGAGCUCUUCUGAUAGCGAAGACUCCUCCUCGGGCGGGAGUGAUGAGGAGGACAGCCGCAGUGAUGACGAGGGUAGCGGGCGGCAGGAUGACGGGUCCGACUAGGUGCCGGGCGCCGCUCCGUGCGGCACCGAUGAUCCCAUCAUCCGUGUCGCCGGCUUCCUGAACUUCUCGGGGUCGUCUUCUUGGGCGGCUGGCGUUGGGAGGCUGCGGAAGAGGAAAAGGGCGGGCGGCAAGGCCGUCAAAUUGGAGUACGCGGGCACCGACGCCUUCGACGCGUGCUGACGUCCUGCCGCCUCGUCUUCGAGCUCUGCUUCCGGCGCCGUCAUCACCAUCCAGCCUUCGGACGGUCACCGAGAUGUUCUCUUGGUGCCUCCUGCCACCCGUAGCUCGCCUAGGCGCUCCCUUUUGCCCUUUUCGCCUCCUUGACCUGCCUCCUGAGGAGAGGGACAAGAAAGGGGUUACGGGCACCUUAUCUCUUUUUAGUUUGUAAGCCUUUAGGCUUUAGCUGAAUUUAAAACUUGUAAUCCCACCAUUCAUGUUUUUCAUUCCCUAUGGGCUGUACCUAAGUGGAAUGUUUUUAAUGAAAAAGGGAUGCUUGCCGGGUCAUUUGUUUGUGGGUAGAACCCACAACAAGGAGUAAAUCCUUGAUAUCCUCAAGAUAAACAUUUCCUUGCCCGGCAACAGGCCCUGCCGUCUUCCCACUUCGCUCGACCCUUCUCACGCUUUCGGCGGAGGCAGGGAUGAGGUGGGUUCAUGCUCCUCGUUUCAUCCUUUUGCCGCCGCGACUACGACUAAACCUGGCCCUAGGAACGAGCCCUAGGGCCUAGAGUUUUUAGGGGAGCACGGUAGCUUUGGGAAAAACGAGGUUUCACAUACCUCAGUCCAUGAGGGAAUGCAUGAUAAGCGAUGAAGAACUUAUCUGAAGUUGUAGCCCCCGGCAACUCUGGUUUGCCGUGGGUAAAUCUUUGUACUUGCAGCCCCCGGCAAUACUGGCUUGCCGGGGUCUGGAUGUCGGUCUGUCCCUCUUUUCUUUUUCGUCCUCAAGUGGUCCGGCAAGGAUAUCUGUGAGUCCUGCGAACCAAAGAAGACAAAAGAACAGCAAAGAGACGCACACUCGACCUCUAAGAUAGGGGUUAGUCGCCGCUUAAGCACUAUCAACCCUAACCAAGGACGAGACUUGACCUAGCAUGCAUGCUAUAACUUAGGGCGUCAGCGCUUCAUUUAUUUAUGCUCAGGGUCUGCGCCUGGCUUUGUACAAAGGGUUACAUGCAUCAUCGGCAAUGCUUGUACAAAAGGUGGCUUGCCGGGGGGCCCGGCAAGCCACGCCUCACGGGUAAAACUUGCGAAGAUGCUCAAUGUUCCAGGAGUUACUCACCGGAACAACAUCUUCGGCUCUCCAGACGGACUGUGCCGGGCCUGGUGACUCGUAUUACCCGAUAAGGGCCUUCCUACUUUGGCGUUAACUUGUUGGAAUUCUUGGCCGAUUGAAUGCGCCGAAGGACAAGGUCGCCUUCCUCAAGGCCCCGGGCAUGAACCUUGCGGCUAUGGUAGCGGCGCAAGGCUUGCUGGUAGCGUGUUGCUCUUACAGCCGCCCGAAGACGAUCUUCCUCAAGGAGCACUGCGUCAUCUUGCCGCAGUUGCUCUUUAGCAAGCUCGUCAUAAGCGAGCACUCGAGGUGACCCGUAUAUGAGUUCAGUGGGGAGAACUGCUUCCGCCCCAUAUACCAGGGCAAAAGGUGUCUGGCCGAUGGCUCGAUUUGGCGUUGUCCUGAUCGACCAAAGAACCGUCGGCAACUCAUCAAUCCAGUGCCUUCCAGUCUUGUGCAGCCUGUCAAAGGUCUUGGUCCUCAAGCCUCACAGUACUUCAGCAUUUUCCCUCUCAGCUUGACCAUUGCUUCGCGGGUGAGCAACGGAAGCAAAACAGACUUUGCUGCCGAGGUCUUGGGUAUAUUGCAUGAAGGUGCGGCUUGUGAACUGGGUGCCGUUGUCGGUGAUAACGCUGUUAGGUACGCCAAAAUGGCACACUAGUCCCUUGAAGAACUUGACGGCUGACUGAGCUGUGACCUUCCUCACUGCCUCCACCUCUGGCCACAUUGUGAACUUGUCGAUUGCAACGUACAAGUACUCAAAGCCCCCGACAGCGCAGGGGAAAGGGCCCAGUAUGUCGAGCCCCCAGACCGAGAAGGGCCAGGAGAGAGGAAUGGUUUGAAGGGCUUGGGCUCGCUGAUGGAGCUUCUUUGAAUGGAAUUGACACGCUUCACACCUGGUGACUAGUGUCGUCGCAUCCUGGAGGGCGGUGGGCCAGAAGAAGCCUUGCCGAAAUGCCUUGCCAGCAAGGGCCCUUGACCCAAUGUGGGAUCCACAUAUGCCUCCAUGUAUCUCCGCCAACAGCUCUAGUCCUUCCUCUUGAGGGAUACACUUCAAUUUCACACCAUUCGGCCUCUUUCUGUACAGGACGUCAUCGACGAACUGGUACAUGGUAGAGCGACGGGCUACUUUCUCCGCUUCUUCCUGCUCCUCAGGAAGUUCCCCUGUUUGGAAGAAUCAGACGGUAUGUUGUGCCCAUGCCGGAGCCUGGGGCUCGACGGCGAGGGCUAAAGGCAUUUCCUCCGCUAUAGGAGCGGCUGUCUCAACGGCAAGAGGUUAACGCUCCGCCGGAGCCAGCCGUCCCGUGGCAGGCUCAGUAUCCUCGGCAACAUCCUUGCCGGCGGCUUCGGGGAGCUCGGCAAGAAAGUACUUGUCGGGCCCUGAUUUCCUCCUCUUAUUCUGCUCUGUUGAUGGACCAACGGAUGGCUGAGUUAGCUGAAGCACAAAGGUACCUGGUUCGACAGGUAGUUGAGGGCAGUGCAUUUGGACAGGUAAUCGGCGAUAUCGUUCUCUGCUCGGGGAAUGUGUUCAGCCUGUAUACCGUCGAAAUGCUCUUCCAGCUUUCUCACUUCAUCGACGUAGGCCUUCAUCAACGGGCUCUGGUAAUCCUUGUUGACUUGCUUGACGACAAGCUGUGAGUCCCCCCUGACGAUGAGUUUCUUGAUUCCAAGGUCCGCCGCGAUCCUAAGACCGGCAAGCAGCCCUUCGUACUCUACCGUAUUGUUGGUUGACACCUCCCUGAGGAAGUGCAUCUGGAUCACGUACUUGAGGUGCUCUCCAGUGGGCGCGACAAGCAGUACGCCAGCCCCGGCACCUUGUAAGGAGAAAGCUCCAUCAAAGUACAUGAUCCAAUCACAACUUGCUUCCUUGCCGGGAAGAGCAGUCUCUUGGGCUUCUUCGUCAGGCGUUGCGGUCCAUUCUGCAAUGAACUCUGCUAGGACUCGACUCUGAAUUGUCGAGGUACUUUCAAACUUGAGGCCAAAGCUGGACAGCUCCAGUGCCCAUUCCACAAUUCUUCCCGUUGCAUCCGGAUUGUGCAAUAUCCGCUGCAGAGGGUAGCGAGUGACGAUAGUGAUCUCGUGCGCCUGGAAGUAGUGACGCAGCUUCCUCGAGGCCAUAAGAAGGCCGAAGAGCAGUUUCUGCACGCCGGAGUACCUCGAUCUAGCCCCCUGUAGGAGGAAACUAACAAAGUAGACCGGGUGCUGCAUCAUUUUCUUCUUCGGCGACACGUCAACUGGCUGUGUCGUCUCUGCAUUGGUGGUGUCGGGCUCUGCCACUGCCAUAUCCUCGUCGUUAUCCUCUCACUGUGCAACCAGCGCGGCGCUGACCACCUAGUCUGUUGCCGCCAGGUAUAGCAGCAACGACUCAUGUGGCCUAGGCGCAACUAGUAUUGGCGCGGAGGAGAGGUACUUCUUCAAACCUUGCAAUGCGGCUUCGGCUUCUGGCGUCCACUCCAUCGGGCCCGCCUUUUUCAGGAUCUUGAAAAAGGGAAGGGCGCGCUCGGCAGACUUGGAAAUGAACCUGCCCAUGGCGGCGACGCAACCAGCAAGCCGACGCACAUCCUUGAUUUGCCUGGGUGCUUCAAUCUGCUCUAUAGCUUUGAUUUUGUCCGGAUUGGCCUCUAUCCCACGUUGUGACACCAAGAACCCGAGAAGCUUGCCGAACGGGACGCCAAAGACGCACUUCUCAGGGUUCAGCUUAAGAUUGAUCUUGCGCAGGUUUGCAAAUGUUUCUCGCAAAUCUGGUAUGAGGGUUGCCCUGUCCUUGGUUUUGACCACUAUGUCAUCCAUAUAAGCCUCCAUAUUUCUAUGGAGCUGGGGUUCAAAAUCAAUCUAGAACGCCCUUGCAAACGUCGAACCAGCACUCCUCAACCCGAAAGGCAUCCGCAUGAAACAAUACGUACCACAUGGGGUGAUGAAUGUUGUUUUCUCUUUGUCUUCUCUUGUCAUGAAGAUCUAGUGGUAGCCGGAGUAGGCGUCGAGGAAUGACAGCAGGUCACACCCAAACGUGGAGCCAACAAGCUGGUCGAUGCACGGCAACGGGAAGGGGUAUUUAGGGCAAGCCUUAUUGAUAUCUGUGUAAUCAAUACACAUCCUCCACUUCCCAUUUGCCUUGCGCACCACGACCGGAUUGGCCAACCACGUCGGAUGGAGCACUGCUCUUACCAAACCCGCUGCUUCCAGUUUCCGGAUCUCUUCAGUAAUGAACUCUUGUCAUUCCAAAGCUUGCUUUCUGACCUUCUGCUUGAUGGGCCGCGCAUGAGGGCAGACAGCAAGGUGGUGCUCAAUCACCUCCCCGGGAACACCAGGGAUGUCGGAAGCUUGCCAUGCAAACACAUCGACAUUCGCCCACAAGAAGGUGACGAGCGCGUCUUCCUAUUUGUCGUCAAGGGUGGAGCUUAUGGUAAAAGCUCCUCUCAUGCCGUCCUCAUUAACAGAGACCUUCUUGGUUCCCGGCGGCACGGCCCUGGGCUUCUUGUUCCCGCUGGUGGAGCUCUCCGGCACGUCCUCGAUGGCAGCGCUACACUCCGAAGAGGUGCGCUUGCCGGAGUGGGUGUCCGAGGUCUCACCGGUCUUCUUCUUCUUCUUCCCUCCCGGGGUCCCAGCGGCAGGAGCAAGUGCCCUAGCGGCGGCAGCUGCUGCAACUGCUUGCUGGUAUAGUUGUCAGCGCAAACCAGCGCAUCUUUCUUGUCGGAGGGGAUGGUGAUGAUCGUCAUAGGUCCUGGCAUCUUCAGGGUGUUGUAGGCGUAGUGUGACGCCGCCAUGAACUUGGCCAGCGCUGGGCGGCCAAGGAUCCCGUUGUAGGGCAAGGGGAUCCUGGCAACAUCGAACAUGAUCCUCUCCGUCCUAAAGUUCAGGUCGCUUCCAAAAGUCACGGGCAGCGUGACCUUUCCCUUGGGUUGGCUUCUUCCCGAGUUGACCCCCUGAAACGUGCCCGUCUCUUCGAGGUCUCCAUCAGGAAUCUGCAGUUUCUCGAUCAUGGCAGGCCAGAUCAAGUUCAGACCGGCCCCGCCAUCGACUAGCAUCUUCGUCACCUUGAGGUUACGUAUUGUUGGUGAAACCAACAAUGGCAAGCACCUGACCGCAGUAGUGCGAUCAGGGUGGUCCUCAGUGUUGAAAACGAUAGGUGUGCUGGACCACUUCAGCGGCCUUUGGGCAUCAAACGAUGGCUCUGGCGGUGUAAUCUCUCGCGCCCACUGUUUAAGCCGGCGGUGAGAAGUGUGCAACGAGGCGCCGCCGUCGAUGCACAUGGCCUCUGUAGCUUUCUGAAACUCUUGGUCGCCCGAUUCGUCAUCCUUUUCGUGAUCGUCGUCUUCUGGCUUUCUGUCACGGCCCCGGGAGGGCCUCUCCUGUUGCUUAUCCUUGCUGCGACGGCCCGCCUGGCCGUCAUGCUUCUUGCCGGACCCCUCAGCAUCGUUUGGGCCCUUCUCCUUGUCCCGCCUCUCAUACUCAGCCCUCUGCUUCUCAGCGAGGAGCUCAACCUGUCGGCAGUCCUGGAGAGCAUGGCCCUUGGUGCGAUGGAUCUUGCAGUAUCGCUUGUCGGAGUUUCCCGGCUUCUCGGCAGCCACCAAGGCCUGGCAGGCGACACACCCGGCAACCUCCUUGCUGGGGUCAUCUGCCUUGGUUUUCUUGGUGGAGCCGGCGUCUUCGGAUCCCUCGACGGCAAGCACGGCUUUUCCUUUGCGCUUCCCGUUGCGGCGCCGGCCAUUCUUCGCUGGGGCGGCAGUAUCCUCAUCUGAGGAGUCGGUUUCCACGCCGGCAUCUUCGCCGGGGUACUUCCUUCCCUCUUUGGCUCGGGCACAUUUGUCAGCAAGAACAUAGAGUUCUGCUACAUCUCUCACCUUGUUCAUUGCCAGCUCUUCGCGCAUCUUGCGGUUACGCACGUUCUGGUGGAACACGCUGAUGAUGGCGGCAGGGUGAACAUCAUGGAUAUUGUACUGUACCCGGCUGAACCUCUGAAUAUACUUGCGGAGACUCUCGCCUCCCUUCUGGGGAAUGACGUGCAGGUCGCUUGCUUGGCCAUGGGCUUGGUGGCCUCCAGUAAAGGCGCCCACGAACUCAUGGCACAAAUCCGACCAGGAGGAAAUAGAGUCUACCGGCAAGUGCAUCAACCAUGACAUGGCAUUGGGUUUAAGCGCCAACGGAAAGUAAUUCGCAAGCACCUUAUCGUCGCGGGCUCCGGCAGCUUGCAUCGCGAUGGUGUAGACGCUGAGGAACUCGGACGGAUGGGUCUUGCCACUGUACUUUUCGCCCACGUCGGGUUUGAAGGUGCGGUGAGUGGGCCACUGGAACUGCCGCAGCUCACAGGUAAAAGCCGGACAGCCUACCUCGUAAGGUAGGCCUCCAGGGCUCCCCGGUGCUGGGUGGCUCACAGCAGGCCCUGCUCGCCUGUCUGAUUGGUGGCGCGCUCCGCGCCGGCGCUCGAUAGUGGUUCGAGCGUCUUCAUGUUCUCGUUCCCGAAGAACUUGGCGCUGGUCACAGUGGGCCCGCGGGUCGGACGAUGCUACGGAGAUCUCGUCGCCCGUGACAUCGCGAUGGGAUGGCGUCCGUGCUACCGGGCGAGGAGGAGGCGAGUGCACCGUGGUCGCGGCGCCGCCGGCUCCCCUACCACUGGUGCGUGGGACUCCGUCGGAGCGUCGACCCGGGGGCUCCACCGGACUCGGUUCAUCUUUGUUCGCCAUCGCAACAAGGCUUCGGAUAGUGGCUCUCCAUUCAUCGAGUUUCCCCGUGGUGGGAGGGAAAUCGAGGAGCAACUGCGCGCGCGCCAGGGCUUCUGCUGGCGUUGGUGGCAGCGAAACCUGCACGGAUCGCGACGCGCUUCGACUUCUGACCAUGUCAGAAGGAGUUCUAUCACGACCCCGCGGUCGCAUGCCAUCUUCACCAGCGCCUCAGCGGGCGGUCAGGUCUUCUAAAUCCCGGGAGCAGCGCUCGGGGCUCUUUCCGCGGCGAUGCCCGGGGACCUCGGCGUGAUUAUGCCGUUCGUCGCGCGCCGCUUGAGAGGAGCGCGCCGUUGGUGUCAGCAUGGGAGUCUUGGAAGCCCUCGCGUCGCCUUCGGGCGGGGUGUCAGCGAUCCUAGAAGGCCCUGCGCCACCCGCGGAGGGCCUGGCUCCGUCUUUGGAUUUGGCGGCGUGCGGCCCGUUACCAGGCGCACGAACAUUGCCACCUCCCAAACUUCGGCUGCUGGGGCGGUGUUGGUGUUCGUGAGUGGUGCCUCGGGUCCUUUCUACGACCGGUCCGCUGCUCGCCCGCGUUGGGACGGAAUGUCCGGCUCCCGACAGGCCAACCGCCACCAUCAUCUUCUUCUUGGGCGCCAUGACGAUGAAGAAGCGUCGAACUAAAUGCUAGAGCCGAUUCUCACAACCGCCGGCCCCUACCUGGCGCGCCAAAGAUGUCGGUGCGAGGACGACACCUAUGGGAUCACGAGAAUCCCUACUACGGUUGUGGGGCGCGGGAUUGUGAGAAGGGCGGAUCGAACAGAUAGCACACGGGUUCUUUAUCCAGGUUCAGGCCGCGAGGAUGCGUAAAACCCUACUCCUGCCUUGAUGGUUUGUUUAUCUGUGUUCUUCAGCUAGCAAUGGGGUGUGAGGAGCUCCAAAAAGCCGAAUCCCCCUCCUGGUCGCCUUGGGCCUCCUUUUAUAGGGAAAGGGGUUGCCACAGUGGCACACAGGAGGUGGAAAGGGCACAGUGAUACGAGUUUAUCACUCGCAUUACAUGACAAGGCGCAUUUAAUGCAUCGUGCUUAGGUAUCCCUGCUUUAUCGGGGACGGGGGAGAGCCCAGUCUUGUCCGUCGCCGAUCCCUUUCGCGUCGACACGCGCCCUGUCCAGCGGUGCCCAUGGUGCCAUGUAGGCAGGCAGGCAGCUGAGGUGGCGCAGCGGUGGGUCUCCAUGAAGAUCCGCUUGCCGCCACGCAGGUGCCUGCCCAACUGGUUGGGUCGGCGGCUACAUGCGAACGGUGGUAGAGGUUGGAUUUGGCGUGGGCCUGAUGGUGGCCCUACGGGUGUCCUUGGCAAGGGCCUCGCCGUACCCCCGGCAAGGGUCUUGUUGUGGUGCCUGCUGUCAUCCCCGGCAAGGCUCUUGCCGGGGGCCUUGUGGUCCUCCUUGGCUGGGAUCCCGCCAAGGGUCGUCAUCUUCUAUAGUGUGUAUCUGAUCUUGAAUGUCUUCACAAAGAUCUGCAUACCACCACGGGGAUGUCUCCCAAAUCCUUGCCCCACGGGGGCAGUGGACUCAAGGGUGAUUCGCUCCGUAGGUGUGAGGCGAGCUGCCACGGCAAGGGUCUUGCCGGGUUUGCUAAAACUGCCCCCCGGCAAGGAUCUUGCCGGGGGGUCCGCUUCGUCCCCUUUGCUCUUUGUGGUCUUGGUCUUGGCGUUGUUCUGCUCCUUUCGGGCUUCGGCCUUAUCUUGGCUCACCUCCCUUGCCUUGCUCGGUGCGGUGGCAUCCGUGGCUCGGACUGCCCGUGCACAGUUAUAGGGGUACAAAAAGUGUACCCCUCUUUUUGUACACCGACAUGCAUCAUCAUACAACUUCUACUCGUUAUUAAUAAUAAGUCAUACGAUCAUCAUCCUCAUAGUCAUCGAACCCAACCCUACAUAAAUGUUCUUAGCACAUGAUCAUCAGUAUCAGGUAGGACAUGACCUAAACACCCUUAAGGUAAAAUAGCAUAAAACAAUAUAGACCCUGACUCUCCAUUAUGAAGAAUGGCGAUCAUCCUGUCUCCAAUUCUUGCCCUUCGCUGAUUGUUGCUUCCAAGAAGCUCCUUACGACUGUCCAUACAUUUUUUCCAGUCUUUGAUUGUCAUGUCUCCACUUCUUUUAGAAACCCGGUAUGGACAGUUCAGAUUCGUAGGAAGACCUAGUUGUAUGUUCGAAACAUGAAGGCUACCGUGUGUAUACAUCAGAUGAGGCACACAAGCAUUCGGGAUUAUCUGUUGAAAAACAUAGUAAUAACUUCGUAGUUAGCAAUGAUGUACUAGUUUUAGAAGUGUGCAAAAAGAUGCACGGAUGUCGUAAUAGUAAAAAAUCUUAUCAGGGUAUCUCCAUGGUAGUUACCGUAGUUCAACACGUGCACUAGUGGCACGUAUUGACCAUAAUGUUGAGGAGUUUGAUUGUAGAUAUUGUAAUUCUCAAGAUCAGUACAAAAUGCGACCAGAUGAUUUUUCUCCUGAUAAGUUAAUUCGGAGCCUUCGGUGUAGUAGGUUCUGUCUACCAUCUUCCGCACAUUCUUUGAAGAAUGAAAAUAAGCUGUCAAUAAAAAUAACUUGUCAGCUAUUUUGAAAUAAACAAUAUAAAUUACUUAAUAACUAUGUUAAGCUCACAUGGGGGAAGAAUUGGAGGUGUAUCCACAAGGAUGAAAAUCAAAGGUCUCUCUUGUGCGAUUGUAGGAUCACCAAGAUCCAUGGUGAUAAGCAUACCCUCAUCAAAACCAUACAUCUUGCAAAGUGCUUCCCAGUUUUUGCAACCAAAAUGGGUUACACUCUGAGCAUUGUACAGCUUUACUUUAAAAUCCACACCAUGAUGGGUAUUUAGGAUAAUUUUUUUGGUUUCCAUACUUUCAUGGUCUUCAAAACCCAUCCUCUCUAAGACAUAGCAUCUUGCAAAGCAUGGUAUAAGCUAGUCGAAUUGGAUAAGAUGAAAAAUACACGUUAAAAUAGUUGAAGUCGUGCUUAAUUAUGAAAAAAACUAUUGUCGUCGUUGCGUACUGUAUGAACAUCGAAGGUCUCCUCGAGCUUAAUGCUGAAGCGCCGAUCUUCGUCCAGCUCAAUGAACAUGUCGCACAUACCUCGGUCGUCGUGGCACCAGUUGCACUCCCCCGGGCAGUUUUCAUCAUCCGAGUACGACAUUUCCGGCCUAAGUUCAUAAUUCAAAUAUUAAAUAUAUGUACUAAAAAACCUAAAUUAGAUCAUUAUUAUUAAUCACAGGUUGACUAUCGGUGAUGGUAUGUAGCUCCUCCUUUCAUUCCCGAGUGCAUUAUUACAACAAAUUGUCUAGCACACGGGAAUGAAGGAGAAGCUACCCCCACGACGGCGUGGAUGAUGGGGGGGGGCUCCUAGAUUUCUGCAUGGAGUGCUCUUCAAUUUUAGCAUUCAAAGUAGGAGUACUUUUCCAAUAUGAGCAUUUAAUAAGCAAAACCAAAUCGUAAAAUAAAGUAGUAUUCAAAUUAGCAUGCAUUCAAUUAUAACCAGAAGUACAUCAUCUCUUGUGUCCGUACAUCGUUGAAUACUCCUCGAAUACUAUCAUACAUAUAGCAUCGCUAAUUAAUACAGCUAGAACCGUAGCGCCCGACGGGUAUCGUCGCGGGCGGUGGACACCCAAAGAUAAGGAACGAUCACAGGAUCAUAGCUCCAGUGAGAUCCCUGAAGAACCUGCCAGGUAUUGCCGAACUUGCCCUCCAACGCAACCAUGUAGCGACGGGCGUGCUCGUCCUCCUCGCUGACACAGUGACGUACCACCUCCGCGGUGUCCGGAAGCCUCGGCACUGUCACUGGCCCAUGCGACCGCCACCAAACAAGGAUCGGGUCAACAAUGGGCUGCCUCCUCACCAACCUACGUCCCCCAGAAGGUAGCACCUCCCAAUACCAGCCCGGCGGAGCCCAGUCCCGAACAUGGCCCUGAUCAAGCAUGCCUCCACCGCCGAGUCGACGACGGCGAGGAUGCGGGAUAGGCAUCGCCGACGUCGAUGCGGGAACUACGUACUUCUAUAUAUAGUUAAAUAAAGUAGUUUUAUUAAUUAAAUCAACUAUCUAGUUCAACUACUAAGCACUUACUAUAAAUAAAUAAAGUAGCACUUACUAUAAAUAAAUAAAGUAGCACUUACUAUAAAUAAAUAAAGUAGCACUUACUACAAACUACUUCUAUAUAUAGUUAAAUAAAGUAGUUUUAUUAAUUAAAUCAACUAUCUAGUUCAACUACUAAGCACUUACUAUAAAUAAAUAAAGUAGUACUUACUAAAAACAAAGUAGCACUUACUAUAUAGUACUUACUAAAAAUAAACUAGUAUUUUUCUAACUAACUACUCCCUCCGUCCCGAAAUACUUGUCGGAGAAAUGGCUACAAUUAGGUGUAUCUAUAACUAAAAUAUGUCAAGAUUCAUUCACUUGUCUGACAAGUAUUUCCGGACAGAGGGAGUAAUAUUUUUCUAACUAAUUAUAUUACCAAAAAAAUCUAAAUAAAAUAGUAAUUAUAUUUUUCUAACUAGCUAGUUCAAUUAUAGUACUUACUAACACAAUCUAAAUAUCACCAAAAAAAUCUAUUAACAAUAAUAUCACCAAACAUACUAUGGACACAUUAAUAGAAAAAAAAAUCUAUUAACAGAAAAAAAUCUAACACAAUAUGAACAAAUUAAUUACACCAAAAAAAUCUAUUAACAGAAAAAAAAAUCUAACACAAUAUGAACAAAUUAAUUACNNNNNNNNNNNNNNNNNNNNNNNNNNNNNNNNNNNNNNNNNNNNNNNNNNNNNNNNNNNNNNNNNNNNNNNNNNNNNNNNNNNNNNNNNNNNNNNNNNNNNNNNNNNNNNNNNNNNNNNNNNNNNNNNNNNNNNNNNNNNNNNNNNNNNNNNNNNNNNNNNNNNNNNNNNNNNNNNNNNNCCAACCGGGACCAAUGGUCGUGUGCUCGCACGGUGCGGCACGAAAGUUUAGUCCCUCCUCGCUAGCUGAGUGGGGCGCGCAGUGGUUUAUAAGCCCCACUGCCGCACCCCUCUCGAGCUCCUCUCCACUGCAGGCUUACGGGCCUACUUAGUACUGCUUUGCCUGAUGGGCCUACUGGGACACCUGCGGGCCUGAAUCCUGGCCCAUGGUGGGUUUCUAGUCGUAUUCAGGCCGUGGGGGCCCAGUAGGAGGCACUUUUUUUCUUUACUUAUUGUUGCUAUUUUUAUUUUUUUCCCAGAUUUUUUGUUUUGUUUUCUGCAUUAUUUGUUUUCUUUUGUUUUUUGCUUUAUUUUUUAAUUCUUUUUUUUAGUUUUAGAAAAAUUAUAAACUUUCUGUUAGUGCCAUUAGUUCUCAAAUUUGAAAACACUUUUUUUAUUUUUUUUGUUUUGUUUCGUGCUUUAUUUAUUUUAUUUUGUUUCUACUUACAACAAAAUACUUAUUGUUGCUAUUUUUAUUUUUUUCCCAGAUUUUUUGUUUUGUUUUCUGCAUUAUUUUUUAUGUUUAUUUGCUUUAUUUUUUAAUUCUUUUUGCUUUUAGUUUUAGAAAAAUUAUAAACUUUCUGUUAGUGCGAUUAGUUUUUAAAUUUGAAUACACUUUUUUGUUUUAUUUUUGCUUUAUUUAUUUUAUUUUGUUUCUACUUACAACAAAAUACUUAUUGUUGCUGUUUUAUUUUUUUCCAGUUUUUUUGUUUUGUUUUCUGCAUUAUUUAUUUUCUUUUGUUUUCUGCAUUAAAGCAUUUCAAAUGAACUCUGAAAAAGUUGAAAGUUGAAAGUUGGCAUGGUAUCACGAGGGCCGAACCAUAAGACAUUAAAGCAUUAUGUGCCGGGACUAAAGAGGGGCAUUGGUCCUGUUUGGAGCCACCAACCGGUACCAAUGAACCCGUCAAAUUACUUAUUUAUUUUCUGCAGCUGUUUUUUAGUUGAUUCUUUCUACAGCUGUUUUUUAGUCCCACCUCGCCAAGCGAGAGGCACUCGCAGCUGUUUAUAAGCCCUAAGUGCAGAGAUGAUGAAGAAGAGGCUCAAUGCUUACCUGCACGUUGGUUCGCUUCAAGCCUUGAGGAAUAGGGUAGACUGCACGGAGCUAUGUGCAGUGCAGUUUACACUAUUCCGAAAGGCUUGAAGCGAAUUAACUAGCAUUGCGCCUCUUUUUUAUUUUUAAUAACUUAUUACCACACAUAAAUAAAUAGAAAAAAUAAAUAUAGCAGAAAAGAAAAAAAACUAUAUAAAAAACUACUCGGAAAUAAAUAGAAGAAAAAAUAGUUGUGAUUAACUUUACUAAAAUCUUUUUUAUUUUUAAUGACUUAUUACAACUCAGAAAUAAAUAGAAAAAAAUAAAUAUAGCAGAAAAAAACUAUAUAAAAAACUACUCAGAAAUAAAUAGAAGAAAAAAUAGUUGUGAUUAACUUUACUAAAAAAAUGAGCAUAGAUGCGCUUAUAGAGAAAAUUCAACCUAAAUUCAUAAUAAAUUUGUACUAACUUCAAAGAAAUUCAGUAUGAAUUUAGGUCAAAAUUUUUGUAUAAGGGCAUCUAUUUUCAUUUUGAGAGGAGCUCAACAAGGCAGAAAGGGAGGGACUUAUAAAUCGGUGUGAGCCCCCUUCGGUUGGCGAGGUGGGACUAAACUCUGACCGCAACGAGGACCAACACUUUAGUCCCGGUUGGUGGUAUGAACCGGGACUAAUGGGCGUCCUUUGGUCCUGAUUCAUGCCUCCAACCGGGACCAAUGAUGGUGGGCCAGGAGCAAGGCACAUUGGUCCCGGUUCGUCCCACCAACCAGGACCAAAAGGUCCAGACGAACCAGGACCAAUGGCCCACGUGGCCCGGCCGGCCCCCGGGGCUCAUGAAUCGGGUCCAAUGCCCCCAUUGGUCCCGGUUCUGCAUUGAACCGGGACUAAUGGGCUGACCCGGCCUGGACCAAUGCCCCCUUUUCUACUAGUGUUAAUAUAUUUUAAUAUAAAUUUGGUCAAACUUUACAAAGUUUGAUUUGACGCAAAUCUAAUACAUGAAGUAAAAAAGACCGAAGGGAGUACAUACGCUGCAUGACGUUCCAAGGAUACACAUGUUGAUUAGAUUAGAUCAUACCGUGUCUUUUUAGAAUGAAAAUCAUAAUUGAUCAGCCAGAUUGCACCUUAUAAACUUGUCCUUGUAAUGGAAGGCAGCAGUAGGCAGGGAGUUCAGAACUUUUUUUGUUUAGCGUGUACUGUGUGCAGGCUAGGGUUUAGCAGAAGAACCUUUUUUGUUUAGCAUCGUGCUUAACUUCUUCGAUGAUGUACUCUGUAGCAGAACAACCCUAGCUAGCGCCGCCGAGUCGUCUCCUGUGAGGCGACUUGGGGGCAACCCUAGCGCCGCCGCCGAGCUACCUUCCCUCUCUCCCUCCCCUCCGCCGCUGCCAGAGGGGCUCCCAGCGCUCCCGCGCGGCCCCGAUGAAGGUGGCGGCGGGGGAUCUGGCACCUCCUCCCUGGGUGGAGGGCUACGGCUCCCGGGGCGGCGGCCCCGGCAGGUGGCGCGUGACGUGGCCUGGGCGGCGGGCGGCGCCGGCAGGUGCUGGUGGGCGGCCUCCACGGCUGCGCGGUAGCGUGGUGGUCGUGGACGUGGUGCUGCGGUGGCACCUCGCUGGCCGCCGGUCGACCUUGGAGAAGCUUCGGUGCCACCCGAUCUGCUUUGUUCCGUGCCAGCGCCGGUCCCCGGCGGCUGCGGUCGCCGUUUCCUGGUGAUUGCUGGUCGGAUCUGGCGUUUGGGAGAGGAUCCGGGGGAAACCCCUGGCCGGUGCGGCGGCCCCCCAAAGUCGACGCCUUUGGCGCCGAUCCCUCUUUUGGAGGCUUUGGGGUGGUUCCUCUCCCUUUCGCCUGCCCCCUGAGCUCCGGCGAAAGUCGGCACUCCCCUAAUUUGGGCGUCGAUGACACCUCGGUGGCGUGCUCCUUCUUGAAGGCGGCGACCGGGAUUUGCUCUUGGGGGUGAAGCGGCUGGUGGCUUGGCUCUGAAGCAUGACGGCCUGGUCUUCCUGCUUCUUCUUGCUUGGCUUGGCCCGGUGCUUAGUGAUGCCUUCUUCGGUCUUCUCCAAUAGUGUGCGCCUUCGUUCGACAGCUCACAUCCCGUGCUCCUUGCUGCCACUGUCGGCUUGGUGCUCGUCUGGUUGGUCCUCUGUGGUCCGCUGGUCAGCUCCGUCUGCUUCUCCUAUGGCAGCUGGACACCUUGAGUUGGGCUUUGUGGUAGCCACUCUGCCGUUCGCCGGUGCGGCACCCAUCGAGCCUGGGUGAAAGGGUAGCGUCCCUUUGCGACGGUGGAGACAGCUCAAGUGUUGCCCAUGUUUGGCUUGUGGAUGCAGUCAGGGCUCGAUACUUGCUCGGUGUGGCCCUCCUUCCGUGUUCUUAGUUGGCUAGUUGGUGUAGACGUAGUGCUGGCCGUCGGCAUCAGUGUUUCUGUUGUUGCCUUUGUGAUGUUCUACCUAGUGCCUUGUAUCUUCCUUUCUGCUUUGCUUUGCAUUUCAUCUGCUUUGCUUUGCAUUUCAUCUGCUCGUAGUGUCUUUGUAACCCUGGCUGGUUGAUGGCUUUGUUAAUUCAAAGUCGGGUUAGGUUCGAGCUCUUCUCGGGCUCGGCCGACGCCUUUUCUCUAAAAAAACAACCCUAGCUAGCAUGUACACAGUACACGCUAAACAAAAAAGGUUGUUUAUAGUAGAGUAAAAAAUGUGUCGAACAAAGUAAAAACGUUCAUUUUCCUGUGCAGUAAAAGUAGAGCACCUGCCCGGCAAAAAUUAUGUUGAGAACUGAAUCUACAAAAACCAGGUAACAACAGCAGCAUAUUGUGUCCGAUAAUUGUAUCUUGUCAUCACUAAAAUAACAUCAGUACCAGGUAACUAGGUAAGACCAUACAAUGAUCUCCAACAGAUACAGUAGUAACAGGACAUCUGUUUUCACUAGUGAGCAUACUGUAGUAGCAAGAGACACUCCCAACAGCCAGAAUGUUCACCAAAGUAAGCUCUUCAGCUAACAUUUAGGCCAAUAAUUGUAACUCGGUGCAUCAUUCCUUGUGGUGGAUAUGUUGGACUGCUAUCAAAAGGGUGGUGGUGGUGAGCCGCCUGGGCCUGGGGGUCCAAACAACGGGCCACAGCAAUCUUGGAGCAGGCAGCAACAACAAAGGAGGUAGAAGCUGCACAAGAAGUAUUCUUCAUGAGUUUUCAGAGAAUAAAAGCUAUCUGUUUCAAACAGAAAAAAAAUUUAAAAGGAAGAAAGCUAAACGACUAAUGUAUGCUCCGCAACUAUAUAUUGCAAUUUGAUUUAGUUGACCCCUAAACCACUAACCAUCAAACUGAAUGAAUUGCUUUCUGUUUUCUUUUCGAGAUGUUAACUUGGUAAUAAAUUGAUAAUUUGCUGGCAAAAAUGCAUAGUUUAAAUUUCUGUUCGUAGCUGAGGUUUCAACUUACCAGGAUGCGAAAAAGCCACCAAACCAAGGCCCCCAAGAACCAGGGCCAGAGCCACCCCAACCUGGUCCUCCAGGCUCAUGAGGAUCCAUUCCACCAACACAGAAACAACUGGUUAAUACAGACUAAAGCUUCACAUCAAGAACUCAACCACGACACAAUAUAAUAGUUGGUGCAGAAGUUGGAGGUGAAUAUUUAUAGAUGUAGGGUGAGAAUAAGUAGCUGUGAGCACCUGCUGUUCCAACGUUCACCUGUGAGUCUUGACUCUCACCCAGUAGUUCCAACGAUCACCUGUCGGGUCUAUGUUCCAACACCUAUUCUGAACCCUCUGCCUACUCUUGUCUUGCAUAAAGAGUACAAGUUUGAGUUCUUAUUCUUAAAUGCAAUCAGGGUGUUCAACUGCACCUGCACUAUUAUGUUCAUUGUACAAAAAACAAGAUAUGACCUGCACCAGUCAAACACUAGUCCGACAAAAAUACAUGAACAUCUGAAUCUAGAAACAGCAGCUACAAAUUGUGUCAGGAACUUAUAUAUGCAAAGUACAUCUUAAGUUCUUAGCAUCAACAGUGAGCCGCAAAGCACGUCCUCAUGAGACAGUGGAGCUUACAUUCUCUUAUUAUCUCAGAUUGCUUGCAUUUAAACACCCUCUGACAUGAAACAAUAUUAUGCUUCUGUUUCUGUAGGUUGAAAAGAUGAUACUCCCUCCGAUCCUAAUUAAAUGACUCAGCCUCUAUACAAUGUCCAUUUUACAUUGUAUAGAGGCUGCGUCAAUUAAUUUGGAUCAGAGGGAGUACUAAAGCUGAGGGAAGAGAGCAGGCUGAAAAUGGGUUUUAGCCUUAAACUUACAAGGAAGAAGCAGAACAAACUAAAACUGUCUUCCUCCAGACCAUAACCCCUGCAUGUUACAUCCCCCUCGUGUCUUGCCAAUUACCAUGAGGGUCAUUCACUGCAGUUUCAUAAGAUAUAAUGAUCUUUCAUGUUAAGUCUUGAACAUAAAAAAUUAGGCGGCAAUUCCAUAUUUAUGUUGUGUUAGAUUUCCAUAUUUAUCUUGCGUUCCAGAUCUAUCUCGUCGUUAAAAAUCUGCUGCUCUUGGCACCAUAUGUUUUUGAUCUACAGACCAUUGGUCGACUUAUCUGAAAAAUACAUUGAUUACUACAUUGUUCAGAUGGUUUUGAUUUUUGAACACAGCCAGGUUAUUACCAGUACCAGUAGCUUACCUGUAUAGAACAGUACAUUGUACAGAACCGUCCAAAGUGCUUGCUGCACCUGUAGACUAAUCAAUUAACCUUGGAAUGGUUUCUUCCCCUCAGUGAAGUUUUUACAGCAUGUUAGUUUGUAUCUAAUUUGGUUGGUAUCAAGCUAUGAAUUUGUAUCUAAUUUCGAAUGCUGGCUUGUGAAAGUCACCAACAAGGUACAAAGUAGAGUAAAGCCCUGAUAAUUGCAUUCAGCCACUGAAAUAACAUCAGUGUCAGGUAACUAGUUAAGCCUGCUGCAUACAAUUAUCUCCAAGAGAUAUAUAACUAGGUGAAGAAUGUAUAGGUGUACUGUGAGAACUAGUAGAUGUGCACUCACCUUCCAUUCCAUUAAUCACCUGCAACUCUUACCCACUGGUCAGUGUUCCAACUACUACACUGCAAUGGAUGCAUCAAGAAAAAUGAAUUGUGACAGAACUUUUCAUUGAGCAGUUGACUAUGAGGCAGCCAUUUAAUUUAACUACUAGUACUCUAAGGUCUUCUAAAAAUAUCAGAUGUAGCUUGCGACUCAACAAAGAAUCUGCCUAGGUUCAUCGUCAGCUUCAACAAAGGGUAGAAACGAGAAACACCCUAAAUAUUGACUAUUAAGAAGACAACUAGAUAAAAAAUGGUAAUGCCAAAUUUUCAAUCCAAGAAAUAGGGUGCUAAGAACUAAGAACACCGCUAGCAAAGUAACAGCUGGCAAAUACUCCAAAAGCAGAUCAACAUUACUUCACUUCAGCCGAGAGGAAGACAAGCAAUUAACAUUCAGAGCUUACAAUCAUAACUUACAAAAAAGAAGAGGCCAGCUGCCUCAUAGUUGGACCCCCGACCCCCGCGUCCCUCCUCGAGGCGACACGGGGGGAAUCCAGAUCCCAGCCACCGGCCGACCUCCUUUCCUCCCCUCCCCCUCGCCGCCGCCAAGGGCUACUGCCGGGCAAAGCUCGGGCACGGCCGGCGGCGGCGGGGCCUCUCCUCGGCGUGGCUCCCCGCCCUCUGACCAUGGCGCGGUGCUCUGUCGGCGGCGGUGCUUGGUGGCGUGGUGCUGCGAGGGCGCGGCGGCGGCAUGGUGUGUUGGUUGUGGGGGUGAUGGAGCUCCGUCCGGUGGUGUUGCCUGCGGCUGCGGCGGCCGGAGGUCUCGGUUCCGUCCUGAUCCCCUUCUCCGGAUCUGGAUCUGGCCGGUCGAGAUCCGAGCGUGGCUGCCGGCGGGCGUGGUGACGCCGGGCCUCCACGGCUGCUAGGCACGGUGGUCAUGCUGGCAGUUGCGUUGGGGCCCCGGUGUGGUGGUGGCGACGCGGUGGCGACCCGUGCACACGAUGCUUGAUGGAGGUUCCUUCAGCGGAUCCGGGUGAAAACCUAGUUCUCGGCUUGAUGCCAAGACCGGCGUUGGCGGCACUCUUUUGUGUCAUUACCUUCUUGAAGGCAUCGCCGUGGAGAAGCUCCAGACCUCUAUCCGCUACCUCCGGGGGAAACCCCAGAUCAGUAGAUCAGAUGACGGCGACGCGUUGGUGUCGUUUCCUCCUUGGGGGCGUCAUUCUUGGAGGCGUACACGGGUUCGAGGGACCAGUGGGCGGCUUUUCUGGUGGAGCGGUGCUUCAUCCUGCACAUUGGUGACGGCGGAUCUCGACGGCGUGGUGCAGUGGAGACUCGGCGCCCGAUGCGCGGUGCUGGACUCGCGCAGGAGGGGGUUGCUGUCUGACGUCAUGGUGGCGUCGAUGGCAGAGUGGCCUGACAAGGUAGAAACCUCAAUAUCUGCUCUGAAGACAGACCAGUGAAAGAUGGCGGCGACGACACAUGUGAGUGCGUCAGACCAGUUUAUGCCCGAGACUAGGUAUGUGGCUCGGCUGGGGCUUAUGGCUUUUGAUGAUAGGCUUAGGUGAGUGGACUGGGUAUUUGGCCCAGCUAGCGCCCCUUCAUCAUAUGGAUAGAAAUAGUGGCAUAUGAUGCCAAGAUGGCGGAUUCAGGCAUAUUGUUGUAAUACUUUGUAAGGUCCUCGAGAAUAAUCAAUAAAAUGGCCGCAUGCAUCUCCCAGAUGCAGAGGCCGGGGGUCAUCCUCCUUUUCUAAAAAAAAAAAGCUGCCUCAUAGUUGAUCCAAUUCAUAGAUAUUGCAACUCAUAAAAAAACGACAGCUAGCCUGUUGAGAAGCACCAUCUCACUCAACAGCCAUCAGAAGAAAGGGGAAGCGUUCACAACAUAACCUUCUAGAGCCGGAAAAAAUGCAUGCUGAACAAGACUUUGUUUGAGCCGACAUUCAUAAAUAUGGAGGCCCAUGUGACAACUAUAGAAACUGUCAAUCAAUUUGCCAUCAGUGCCGAUGUGAAGCACCCACCCACCAAAAUUGACCAGCAAGACCACGCCACCAUCCCCCGAAACAACAUCCACAUCCCAAAGGUUAACAUCCCAAUAGUCAUCACAACCUUCAAACUGUCCCCUGAUUUCUUCAACAGGCAAUCUGAUUCGGUACUUUGAGUCCCAAGACUCGCUUUCAUAGUUCUGCAGCACCCAUAUACUAAAAGUGUUCUUGUAAUCGUCAUUGCAAUAGAUGCCAAGCGUGUCAUCCAUCUCAAAGAUAUAUGACUUGGUGGGCACAAUUGGAGCAUGCAUCUGCCGGAACGACUCAGCUACCGUGUCAAGUAUUAUUACAGGUUUGCCUUCACUCUGCAAUUGUUCGCUUUCACUCAGAUGAUAAUAUGGAUACCAAUGCAGGUUAUCACGCAGCUCAAUAGGUAAGCUGAAGACCUUUGACUCUAUGUCCGGCCACCCAAUGUACCUCGGUGGCUGUUCGGAGCCUAAUGGAAAGACAUAGCAGCCAAUUUGCUCUUCAGGCGAUUCCAUGUUGCUCCGCCGUCGCAGUAACAGGCGGUACUCGCUGGUGGGUCGGUGACUCGGUGGAGGUACAUCCCGAAGGCAGUGAAGUCCCACGAUGGCCCAGGCCUUCAGACAGAAGUCCUGGUCAAGGCUGGCGACGGUAUGGAGCUGGGCGUUAGCGGCGGUCCGGUGGUCGAAGGCGAGGAUGUCGUGGUGGUGGACGCCGAGGACUAACUGGUCGCCGUCCACAAUAGGGAAGGCGGGCUGGCGGGCGUGGUGGGCGAGGAGGAAGCGGCGAGUGGAGGUGACGCGGCGCCAGGCGCGGCGGACGGUGCGGCAGCGGAGGAGGGAUUUGGGGUCGAGGCGGACGAGGAUCUCUCAGAUGACGACAUCGUCUAGGAGGCCCGGGAGGAGAGGCGUCGCUUCUCCUGCCACGGCCACCUCCGCCAUGGUCGCCGGCUGGGAGCUCGUCCUCGAGUAGUGCGGGUGGCGGCGGAGGGGAGGGGGGUAGAAAUGGGCACGACCCAGGUUGUGUGAGGAGGAGAGAACUCUGGGACCGGGCUGGGCUUAGCCCAGAAGCAGAUCACUCUGAACUUCUCUGUUUUGACCGUGAGAUCACUUGUGAACGAAGGAGUUUCUCAAACAAACAAAAACUUGUGAACCAAGGAGAUCACCGAGUACAACAUUUCUUUUCUUCUUUGCACCGAAAAAAGGAUUUUUCCUAGAGAUUGCAAAAAAAAGGUUUUCUCUUUGAAAAUAUAUUACACAACUGUUUGAAAGUACAGAGUAAGGUGUUCAAAACGUUCAAACGACACCAAUCAGAUAAUGUUACACGAGCCAGAGAUUGGUCAAUAGAGACGUCGCGUGCCAUCACCCGAUUGCUACGAGUUUUUCCCCCAAAACCUACUCCCCUCUUGCAGCGACGGAGGAAGUUAGGGUUUGACGCGGAACUCGGUGACGCCCGCGGAUCAGGCUGCAAGUGGACACGGGCCGUCCACGGCGCCCGCGUAAAAACCCACUUAAUUUGUGCUCGUGGACGCCCGCAUAAUCUGUCUUAGAAAGUGGGCUAAGUGGGCUGACCCACGUUUUCCACAUAUGACCCACUUAAUUCCACGUUCCUGUCUUCCUCGUUCCCCUCUUCUUACGAUGCUACUAGGAUAGGGCACGCCGCCGCCGCCGCUGCUGCCGCCGCUUCCCCAUGGCCGGCUUAGCGUUGUCGUCCACCUUCCCAAUGGCCGAUCUAGCGACGCCGUCCACCUACCCCAUAGAAGCCGCAACGCCCACAUCCAUCAUCUCCAUGGACGCCGCAGCGCCGCCUUCCACCUCCAUCCUAGCUGCACCAGCGCCGCCGUCCACCUUUCCCACAACUGCACCAGGGCCACGGUCCACCUCCCCCACGGCUGUACCAGCGCCGCCUUCCAACUCCCCCACUGCCGGACCAGAGCAACCAUUCACCUUCUCCAUUUCCGCCCCAGCGGCGCCGCCGUCAGCCACCAUGGCUGUCACCAGCGAUGCUCGGAAGAAGCGACCUCCCUGCAAGAAUUAGAAGAUUGUUGCUGUCCAAGAAGAACCGGCCAAGGUAGUUAUCUGGUUAUCCCCUUGAGAUCUGGCUUUGUGGGUACUUGCCGCACCAUCCCCAAAGUGCUAGAGGCGCUGCUCCUACGAAUGCUUUGCUUCCUUCUAGCUGGCCUUGGAGCCCUCGCUUCUUUAAUCUCCAGCAAGAAAUUGAGCAAGCCUGGAAGGUGGUUAGCACUAGUACAUGGGCACAUGGCUACCUUACUUCAGUAUUAAAUUUUCUAGUAUAGAUUUGAUCCAUCCAUCAAUGAUUUAGUUGAGGGUACAAGUUCAGGUUAGAGAAGCCUGCUGCAUAUCAAAUUAAGGCAUAGAGCCUUUUAUAAUCUGAUGUAUGUUUUAUUCUACAAAUCCAAGUACUAGAUCACGUGAUGUUGCCAAGAAACUAGUGUCAGUAUUAUUUUCUCUACUUGUAUAUAGUACCUUUGCAUUUGUUCUUAGGACUGCAGGUUGUUUUGAAUUUUGCCCAUACCGUAUACCUGUGACCACCUACUUAAAAUAACAGGGAAAGUAUAUAUAGAGGCUAAAUAGCCUAGAAAUUUCACCAAGUAUUUUUCCUUCUAUUGGAGCAAUUCCCUGCCAUUCUUGAUAUGUUCAAAUACUGUAAAACAGGUAAGUUCAGAUAGACUUAACUGAAAAUCUGAUAUGCAAGCCACAAAAGAAAGAUGUACCUUUGGAUGUGCCUGAAGCACGCAGGAAUACCUCCGGUUAAAAGGUUAUCUGAGAGGUCUAUAUCAGUUAGCUGAGCUAACUGACACAAACCACCUUGAUCUUCUUUGUUGGUGGACACCCUGAAAGAAGAACAAUCACAAUUUCAUAUCCAUAUGCAAUGUCCAUUGAUGCCCACACAGAAGAAGCAUAUAUGUUAAGGACUUCUUUUUUGAUAUAAAUAUGGUGUUUGUUCUACUUUUAUUUGACAUAUCCAGACAUUUAACCUUCUGUCAGAUUGCGCCGCCAUCCAUCAUCUCCGUGGACGCCGCAGCGCCACCUUCCACCUCCAACGUCGCCGCACCAACGCCGUCGUCCACUUCCCCCACAGCUGCACCAGCACCGCCAUCCAACUCCUCCACGGCCAGACCAGCGCAGCUGUCCAACUCCACCACGGCCGGACCGGCGCAUCCCUCCAACUCCCCUACGGUCGGACCAGUGCAGUUGUCCAUAUCCUCCAUGCCAGCCCCAAUGCCGUCGUCAACCUCCACCAUGGCCCUCACCGGCGAGGCUCGCAAGAAGCGACCUGGGCAUGAACUCCCAAGGUAUGGCUCCAAGAAGAAGAAGAAGAUAGCUGAUGUCCAUGAAGCACCAAUAGUUGAAGCCGUCCCUGCUUCUGAAUCUGACAAGACCAAGUGCCUCAGUGGCUUUGUCAAGAGGAAGUUGAAGAAGCAACAGCCUAAGAAGGAAGACUCUAAUGGGGAUGCUCCUAAUGCUGAGAAAGAGCAGGAGGCUCCCAUUGAACAAGAGAAAAUUGUACUUUCCUACGCUUUCCUCACUUUCAGUUGUUUUCAAGCUUUUUACUGAUGUGUUAAUUUGGAGCAGGAGAUGACCCUUGAAGAUUAUGAGAAGGUGCAAGAAAAGAAGAAGUCUCUGGAGGCUUCUAAACCAGAGGAGAGGAGGGAUGCUGCUGUAGAUUUUGAGGGUCUCCAGCUCUUGGAGAAAAAUCUGAUUGAGGAUGAUGCUAAAUUGAAGGCGGAAAAUGUUCGCAAAGCAAAGGAGGCUGCUUCAAAGGAAGCUAAACCUUGCAAGGUACAAACUAUAGUCUACCAACAAUAUUAGUAGUUAAUAUUUUCUCUGAUAUAAAUCUGGUGUUUGUUCUAUUUUUAUUUGACAUAUCCAGUCAUUUAACCUGCUCUGAUUCUGACCUAUUAUUGUUUACAUUGUUCUAGAGAGCUAGUCCACGAGUUUAUUCUCCAAAGAUUGUGGCGAGCUCCCCGAGGGGUCAAUAUCUUAGCAAGAUCAGUUGCAUUGAAGAGGGUGUCAUCGACGGUGAGGCACGCUUCCGCAAAAAGAGCAAAGUUAGCAGAUCAACUAGAGACACCUGAAUCACAGCGGACGCCGCUACAGAACACCCCUUCGCUUCAAAAUCUAUCUCCUGCAGCGAGAAGACCUAGUUCCCAUGGUAAGAUUUGCUUCCGGAUAUUCCUAUGGUCGACUUUGUAGAGUAACACGAGAUUCCUCUAUGUUUAAACCUUUAAGGUGUUCUUUUCUCAUGCAUGCAGGGUCAAAGCGUAGAUGCAGCACGCUAACAUCUCUCAUUUGGGAGGAGGCCAACCAAUCUAUGAUGGUCGAAUGCUUGUGGAAGGCCAGUGUAAUCAUUGUGAACAAAUUUUUCCGGCCACACGAGACAGUGGGACCAGCCACUUACGUCGGCACCUGAAGGUAUGCCCAAUAAAAAUUGCUAUGAAUGAAAUGAUUGACAAGUUGAGUCCUCCUGAGGUGGUAGAUCCUAAUUAGAAAUUUGAUGCUAAAGUCUCACAGUUUGAAUUAGUCAAGUUGAUUGUUGUGAAUGAAUUGCCGUUCUCUCGCGCGGAGUACAAACCAUUUCGGGACUUUGCUGCUUCCUUACAUCGAUGGUUCAAAGUGCCCUCGAGAACAACCGUCAAAAAUGAUUGCAUGGGAAAUUUUAAGAGAAACAGACUAAAAGUGCAACAAUAUUUUGAGAAGUCUACUAGUAGAGUAUCUUUGACAGCAGAUAUGUGGACGUCAAACCAAAAAUUGGGUUAUCUUUGCAUCACCUGCCACUUGAUUGAUUCAGAUUGGCAAAUUAAAAAAAUUGUCAUAAGAUUCUUCAUGAUGCAGACACCUCACAAUGCUAUGAACAUGUAUGGUGUGAUACUAAAGACUAUUCAAGAUUUUAAUUUAGAGGAUAAGCUCUUUGGUUUCACGUUAGACAACGCACCGGUGAAUACCCCGAUGAUAAACCACUUAAGAGAGAAUUUGGUUAAAAAAGGUUGUCUUCUCUUGAAAGGAAAAUUAUUUCAUUGUCAAUGUGCUCCUCACAUCUUCAACUUGAUGGUUCAAGAUGCUCUUCUCGCAAUGAAAUAUGUGGUCAACAACAUUCGAGAAUCUGUCCAAUUCGUAAAGAGUUUGCAAUCAAGAGGCCAACAAUUUCAAGAGAUAAUCAAUCAAGUGGGGUGUUGUUUUGUUGGGCAGCCUUCUGUAGAUGUACAAACUCGUUGGAAUUCCACAUAUUUGAUGCUUGAGUCAGCUAUACCAUUUAGAAGUGCAUUUGAUGCCUUAGGGCAGCAAGACAAGGAGUACGAGUUUUGUCCAACACCUAUUGAAUGGAAAAUGGCUGAAUCUGCAUGCAAAUUGCUAAAAGGAUUUUACACAUCAACCAAACUUCUCUCUGGAUCUAAGUAUCCGACUAGCCAUCUCUACUUCCCCCAGCUAUGUAAGAUUAAGAAGAUCUUGAAGAGAGAGUCAUCAAGUAAGAACACCAUCAUUGUGCAUAUGGUGCAGCAAAUGGAAAUAAAGUUAGAGAAGUAUUGGAAGGAGUCCUACAAGUCGAUUUGUGUUCCGGUUGUAUUUGAUCCAAGGUUUAAGUUUGAUCUACUUGAAUAUAUGUUAAAAGACUUUGGAAGUGAAAUUGAAGCCAAUAAAUGGAUGCUUAAAUUAAAGAAAGCAAUCCAAAAGCUUUUCGAUCAGUACUCUCUAGAGAUUCAUGUUCAUCACCAACAAGAAGAUUGUGGGAGUCCUGGUGCCGAGGAGGAUGAAGAAAACGAUGAUCCACUUGCAGAGUGGGAUCAUUAUAUCAGUUGCAAAAAAGGACAAGCAAAUAAUGAGAUGGAUCAGUAUUUGAAAGAGGAGUUGUAUCCACGGAAGAAAGAGUUGGACAUAUUAGAAUGGUGGAAAAUCAACUCUCCCAAUUAUCCGGUACUCUCUACGAUUGCUCGCGACAUAUUGGCUAUUUCGGCAUCCACAGUGCCUUCCGAGUCUGCUUUUAGUUCUGGAGGACGCAUUGCCAGCGACUAUAGGAGCAGUCUUUCUUGCUCCACCGUCGAAGCUUUGAUUUGCCUACAAGACUGGCUGAGAACUAAUGGUUAGUAAGGUUUUAUUUUAUUGUUCACAAAAAUUGAUAACCACAAUUAAUCUAAUAAUUUAUGUGUUUUAUGUUUUGUGUUUUGUGUUUUGCAGAUCCAGAAAAAUACAAAGGUGUAUCAUUGGAGACAGAUGAAGAAGAUCAAGGUAUAUGCGAUGCCCCCAUGAUAAUCACUAUUUUUAUUUAUCAACUAGCUGUUGGCUGCAGUGCUUGCCUUGAAUCAUUUAAGCUACUGUGCAGAAGCUGAAUGUUCUGAAGAAAAGUCCUAAGUUUUCUACUUUGCUACUUGUUUAUCUUCCAAUGUUUCUUGUAAAGUCCUAAGUUAUCCUGUAAAAUGGAUUCUUAGGAUGCAAAAUUGCAAAUGGACUGACGAACAUAUUUUUGACAGGAAAUAUGGGUUGCUAGUUCGCUACUUGAAGAAAGAAUGGCAGGUUGAUGGUGAUGGAAGAUCUUGAAGAGCUCAAAAAAUUCAUCUUGUUGUAGCCUCUAGUCUUAUUGCAAUUGAUUUUGUCUUCAGUCUUCCUGAAAUAAAGGAUGGCAGGUUGUAUUACUGCAAUUCAUCUUGCAUUCAUAUUAUGUACUUGUUGUAUGCUGACAGGUUGUAAUCUUAAUACACGGAGACUAAAUAGUAUGAACUUGCUGUAUCCUGACAUGUACUCUUUGUAUUUUCAAUUCUCGAGUUCAGAUUAUGUGGGUAUGUGGCAACCCGCAUAGUCCCAAUUAUUUUAUGUGGACAUCCCACUUAAUUCACUAGUAGAAAGCUAACUAAAACCUAAGUAAAUUAAUCGAGGAACCCUAGCAGAGAGAGAGAGGAGGGGGUUUACAGAGGGUGCAGGGGCGAGGAGGCAGGCCCAACGACGGCCGAGGUUGGGAGGGGAGGAAGCAGAGGAGGGAGGCGAGGGCCGACGGGUCGGGGGCGAGCGCCUGGGUCGGGGGCGAGCGCCGACGUCGGGGUCGGGGGCAAGGGCCGGGNNNNNNNNNNNNNNNNNNNNNNNNNNNNNNNNNNNNNNNNNNNNNNNNNNNNNNNNNNNNNNNNNNNNNNNNNNNNNNNNNNNNNNNNNNNNNNNNNNNNNNNNNNNNNNNNNNNNNNNNNNNNNNNNNNNNNNNNNNNNNNNNNNNNNNNNNNNNNNNNNNNNNNNNNNNNNNNNNNNNNNNNNNNNNNNNNNNNNNNNNNNNNNNNNNNNNNNNNNNNNNNNNNNNNNNNNNNNNNNNNNNNNNNNNNNNNNNNNNNNNNNNNNNNNNNNNNNNNNNNNNNNNNNNNNNNNNNNNNNNNNNNNNNNNNNNNNNNNNNNNNNNNNNNNNNNNNNNNNNNNNNNNNNNNNNNNNNNNNNNNNNNNNNNNNNNNNNNNNNNNNNNNNNNNNNNNNNNNNNNNNNNNNNNNNNNNNNNNNNNNNNNNNNNNNNNNNNNNNNNNNNNNNNNNNNNNNNNNNNNNNNNNNNNNAGCGCCGGGGUCUGGGUCGGGGGCGAGGGCCGGGUAGGGGGCGAGCGCCGGGGUCGGGGGCGAGCAUCGGCGCCGGGGUCGGGGGCGAGCGACGGGGGAAGAGAGAGUGGGGAGUCCGUGUCGUUCUCUCCGCCGCCAUGUCCGGCCCCUUCUCCUCCGCCAUGUCCGGCCCCUUCUCCGCCGCCAUGUCCGGCCUAUUCCCCGCCACCAUUAUCGAUCAUCUCUUCGUCUUGCCCCGUGUCAUCAUUGCCUGCCCCAUCUGCAUCCUCAACAUCGUCAUCCUCAUCUUCAGUUAUCCACCGAGUAUAGCCAUCCAUGAAACCAGUCAUGAGCAGGUGCGCUUCGACACGACCAUUGUCAUAGGGGUCGAGCCAAACUAUUCCUUUGCAUUUUUGACACGGACAUAAAACCUCUCUCAGGUUAUUUUCUUUCAUGUCCUGCACCGCCAACCGCAACCACCUGUCCACCAUCGUUCCACUGACCAUCAUGAACGUCUGCACGGUAAUAAUAAAACAAAUUUAUUAUAAAAAUGCGUGCAUGCAUCAAAGUCAUACAAAAAUUCGGCAUGACCUUCCCUAAAAUUAGGACAUAUAUGGAUCUAGAGUUUGCCCGGAAUUCGCCGAAACAGAAAUAAAUCCAUAUUUCGGCAAAACAUAGGCAACUCAAAAGCACAAUUUGACGUCAACUCAUGCCACAUACACAAUUUCCACAAACAUAUCACACACACAUAAACAUAUUUCCAUUUUGCAAAAGCAUGAAAUUUUCAUCACCUCUAUCUCGAGAUCGAGCACACGGUGGAGAUGAUGUUGUAGGGAGAUCAAAAGUCCACAAAGCUCUUCUUGACAAAGAUAGAUCUAGUUAGGGGGCAAAUAGGUCACUUAACUAAAUCCUACAUCUACCUAGCUACCUAAUUUGGGAGGAGACAACUUCAACUAGUGGAGGGGAAGGAAAAAGAGAAAGGAGAUGCAUUAAUGGAGGUGGUGUAGUUAGGUAGGAGUAAUGAAGAGAGAGAAAGGUAGAUAGAAGAGAGAGAGUAAUGGGGGAGAAGUAUUGAGGAAGAAGAAGAGUGAGAGUGGGAGCAUGUGGGAGGUAGGGGAAAGGGAAGAGAGGAGGGGAGGGGGAGGGACGGGUGGGGAAAAGGUGGUGGGUUGGUGCGGAUUAGCAGUAGCGCGGGAGUUAAAACGCGCUACUGCUAAGGAAGUAGCAGCAGCGCGCUUUGGGCAACGGCGCUACUGCUAACCGGGACCAAAAAGUGUGCCAAUUUGAAAUUUAGCAGCAGCGACCUCAGAAAAAGCGCGCUACUACUACAUGCAUAGCAGUAGCGCGGCUCGCGGCACCGCGCUGCUGCUAAAUGGAGUUUUGUGGACACCCGUUAGUCGAUAUUUGUAGCAGCGCGGUUUACACCGAGCGCGCUACUGCUAAAAACUUGUCAGUAGCGAGUUUCCCGCACACGCGCUACUACUAAUUAGCAGCAGCGCUCCUUUUUGAGCCGCGCUGCUGCUAAGAUUCUGUGUAUAGGCUUUUCCCUAGUAGUGUAUCCUCCCAGAGAUAAGAUUUUUUUAAGAGUGGCAUUAACAACUUGUGCUCUAGUGCCAUGCCUCACCACAGGGAGGACUUGCAUGAAAUCACCCCCAAACACUAUUGUCUUUCCUCCAAAUGGUGAUCUACAACCUGUAGUAUCUUGCAGUGUUCUAUCAAGUGCCUCGACGGCUUGUCGCUUUGUCAUGGCAACUUCAUCCCAAAUUAUCAAAGAUGAUCUUCGAAGUAAUUCUGCUGUUCCACUCUUCUUAGUGAAGUUACACAUAGUGUCUUCUUGAAUAUUUAUUGGUAUUUUAAAUCUGGAAUGGGCAGUCCUGCCACCAGGCAUAAUACAAACCGCAAUGCCUGAUGUUGCUGUUGCGAUGGCUAUUAGUCCCAUGGACCGCACUUUAGCCAGCAAGGCUUUAUAAAGGUAUGUCUUCCCUGUGCCUCCUGGACCAUCAAUGAAGAAGACCUUACCCUUCUUUUGUAUAACAUGGUUCAUUAUGUCAUCAAAAGCAAGGUGUUGUUCAUUGUACAAAGUUUCACACAAUUGUAAGUCUUCUUUAUCAACUAAAAUAUACAUCUCUUCAGUUAAUUCUCUCUACUCUAAGCUUUCCAAAUCACCGGCAUCCAUUAGAUCAGGAAGAUCAAAGCUCUGGAUGUCCUUACCCAUAGAGUAUAGAAAAUCUCCAAUAUCUCUAAGCACCAUCUGCUCAAUUGCUUCAUUACUUAUGCUCUCCCUACGAAAAUCAUCAGACAUGGCUUCAAAGUGCUUGUCCCACAAUGCACGAACAUGUGUUACCUCACAGAAGGCCAAAACUGUAGCAAAAAGCCUCCUAAGUGCAUAAGGCAUUUGAAAUGUUGCAGCUUCCAUGAGACAAUCAGAAAUACUAUUGUCUGCUUCAAUGAGUCCCCUUCUCUCUGCAGCCUCUCUAAAAGUGGAACAAACUACGCCUUCAACAGUACGUAAAUCCUCAAAAGAUGUAGCCCCCGUGACAUGGUUUAGUAAUACCCUCAAGUAAUAUCUCUCGCCCUCUGCAGGGUGAGCAGCCACAAGUCUACCUAUUUGAAUCCUCUGCGUACGACGUCUCCAUGUUUUGUGGUUUCUUUGCCAUACAUAAAAUUCAGGAAAUUCCUUAUAUAAAAAUUUCUGGCAUAACUAUCAAUGGAGUUCAUUUUUAAAUACUCAGUUAGUAUUGUCUUGGAAGAUGAAUUUCUAUUUAUCACAUUCCCCAAAUUAUCAGAAUCUUUAUAGUGCACAAUAUGCAUAUUUGGCAAGUGAACCUGUAACUGUAGAACAAGAGGAGACAUCUCCCUGAGAUUAAAAGAAUAAAUCCUCCAUAUUGCUUCUGGAGGUGAUAUAAACCUGGCAUCUCUAUAUUCACGAAUUUCAUUAAUAAUUUUAUCUUCCACAGCUUCGAGGAUAAAAGAGGCACGAUCAUGGCCUUUGUAUAUGUACUUGAAUAAAUACUUAACAGCCUUAAUGCUGGAGCAAACUUCAAUAUUGAUAUGACAAUUGUAUCUCAUAAGUAAGUACGGAUUGUAUGGCACAACCCAUCUGUUAUCUAAAACAGCUCCCCUAAUGCGCACUUGGCGACCAUCAUCCCUGCGUCUAUAGAUCGGAUAUGAGUCCUCUCCUUGCAACGUAACCUCUGAGAACGGGCGGGGAUAGUGGUAUUUACAAUUUCCGUCUUGCAUGCACGAAUUUUUACUAUUGAGAACACCACAUGGACCAUGCAUCAUGUGUUUAAUAACUAAAUCAUGCAUCACAGGGUACUUAUCCCUAUCAGGAAUUUCAGCGGAUAUAAUAUGGUCAUAUUGGUCAGGGCUGUUUAUUUUGUAAUUUGACUUUAGGAUUAUCAAGAAAUGUGCAUGAGGCAGUCCCCUUUUUUGAAAUUCAAUGGCAUACACGUAAGCAGCAACCUCGCCAAAGAAUUUCUUCUUAAAUAUAAGCUUUUUCAGAUCCUCCAAUUUUGCCCUAAAGACCCGUGCUACCAAGUCUGGUCGGUCUUGUGCUGAUUGGCCUGGAGCGAGUUCUUUUAUUAUCUCUUCCCAACUUGGGUUGCACGUCAUUGUUAAAAAUAAAUCUGGCUUUCCAAACCGCUGGACCAAAGCCAUAGCAUCUAGAUACCUUCGGCGCAUGUCCCUUGGACCUCCAAUGAAAGAGGCAGGGAGCACAAUGCGCUUGCCAAUCAUGCAUGCACGUGUCUCACCAGCAAUAACACUAUCAACCAGCCCUUGAUAUAGAUCUGCUCGUAUGAGAAUUUGAUUUGCUGGUUUUAAGUAGAAUGCCAAUCUUAUCGAUUCAAUCUUUAUGUACAUAUCAACAAUAUAUUGUUGAGUGAGUCGUUUUCCAAAAACUAACACAUUAAAUUCUUUGGCUCGAAUUUGUAGUUUGAAACAAUAAUAUUCCCUUGGUGAAACACAAGAACCAGAGUUGUACUCUUUCCCUAUACAAUGAAAUUUGAUUUAGAUAGAAAUAUAUAAAACAAUUAAAAAUGACAACACCAUCAAAAUAUGAUAAAACUAACCUUCUUCCUCGAGGUCAUUUACUCGAUGUCUACUAACACAAAUAUUAGAAUUUGUUCCCACUUUCGGUAUAUUCAAGUUCCAUCCAACUUCCCCGCUGGGAAAGAAAAGUGGGUACGAUAGUGGAUCAUAACAGCCUUGGUAUGCUUUUAUGUAUUGUGGCUUAUCUGAUUUACCGUAUACAAUUAUACUCCUGUCAAAGUGACCUUGAGGAUUAUUUCCCUCUACCCAAAUUGCUGCUACUUGGGACGCAGUAGGCGUAUUAUAUACUCGUUGAUCUAAACAAAUGUCUGUGUUCAGCUCAAUCUGAUGUUCAGCUCUACCCAGAUUGCUGCUACUUGGGACGCAGUAGGCCUUCGAAAUAUCUGGGCAUCAGGAUUAUGUGAAAGUAUGUGCGUCAAUUUCCGGAUAAGAACUUUAUCAAGAUUAGGAGAGUAUCGGAAUCUAUGUUGCAAAUCAAAAUCUGUGUCAUAAAAAUACAAUUGUAGAUGUUUGGGCCCAUCCCUGUUGGAACCAAUUGGUCAAUCCUGUGGUAAAUCUGACCUUGUGCACGGAAAGUGUAAACUCCAAACCUUUUAUUGCAAUAUCGUUGAUCCAGCAUAACCCCAAGAGAGGUAAAAGAAAAGUGUGAAUUGAAGUACCUUAUGUUAUCUUGGAAAUACCUUGCUUCUGGAUCUUGACUUGUGUACAAUCGAUGCAUUUCUUCAGGAACAAGUGGAGUCACUAACUUGAACUUGCCACCCAUGCAACAAAAAGUUGGUUUCUCAUACUGAAACCUUUUUGCGGUGCAAUAUCUGCAAUUGGGUACUGCCUCCAAAACAUGAUGACCACUUGGCAAAUUUUUAUAUAUGUGAUCAUACGGAUCAACUUGUAUUUCACAAAUAGCAUGGUCUGGUUCUUGAUAUGAUUCAUAUUCAGAACCUGUCCAUUGUUAUUUGGAAGGGAGAAAAUAGUAUAAUAGUUAUCUUGAUACCAAUAUCUGUUUUUUUUCUCCAGUUGACAAGAUAUAUACUAAAAUACUUACAUCCUUCACCGAAUAAACAGCUAUCACAAUCUUCAUCAUCGCCUUCAAGCAUAUAUUGGGUUUGCCCAUAUUCACCUAUUAUAUCAUCUCCAGUUUCCCCAAUUUUAUCUGUUGAGUAUUAAAUCAAUUUAGCAAAUUAUUUAACAUAAUUAAUACUUAUGAGGAAAGUAAAUUAGAAAAUCAUUGUCAUCUGGUGCUGAAAUUACCUUGGAUAGCAGGGAAAAAAUCAGUUGGCAUGUAGAUUGUGUCUUCAGAUUCAUGAUCAUUAUGAUGUUGAAUUUCCAUAGGCAUAUGUUGAUGAACCAAGUUGUCACUUUGUCCAGUUACAUUCUGUGUAUUACAACUCGCUUUGUCAGUUGUAUCAGGUGCAUUACUACAACCCGCUCCAUGAGAAUUUCUUCUUUUCUUAUAGUCACGAUUCCUUUGUAAGUAUGCUUCUUUUUGUUCAGGUGCCAAGUUUGAGUACCACUUAGUGCCACGUUGUCGCUUACGUCGACUAUUGUUUGUCAAUGCAUUAUAUGCACCAUGAUCUUCAAGAGAAAUAGAAGAUACAUAUACUUCCGAUGGACUGACCGUCAGUCCAGUUCCAUGAUCUAGGUGGCACAUAUUUGACUGAAGAAUAAGGUGUUGGUCCAAUUCAGAUAUGUCUUUACCAGACUUAGAUAUCCCAAAACUACCAAAUGUGGCCACUGCUUUUGACAUGAUAAACACACACACACACACACACACACACACAAAAUUAGAUUAUAUUAUUAUUAGCAAUACAUCUAAAAAUAUAUUCUGAUGGUAAAUACAGCUUUUUAUCAAACCUUGCUUCAUUUUUGAUGAGCAACCAUGCUGAUCGACCGCUGAAAUGUCCAUGCAGCAACCUGGAAAAAAAAAGAUAUUAAUUCCUUCACCAAGCACACGUAAUGGUAACUAAAAUUAUAUUUAUCAUAAACCACAAUAAAGUACCUUCUGCCACCUGAGAAGAGUUCAUAAGCUUGUGUAUGUGGUCACUGGAACUCAUAUUUCUCUGCCCAGUUAUGGACUGCGCACUGCUACUAAUUGCAUAGUUUUCUCUCUUAGCCCGUUUGUACUCGUGAUUCCUCUGUAAAUAGGUUUCUCUUUGGACUGGUGUCAUUUACAAGUAUCUAUUCCGAUCACGAAAACGCUUACGGUGUACAGGAUUUAUUGAUAAAUUUCUUUGUUCGACAGAAUAAUUAUUCAGCACUGAAAAAUUAGCAAACAAAAGAUAAGUCAAUUACAAAGUAAAUAUAAAUCUUAAUCAAUCUAGGAACAUGAUUUGAGUCCAAAUAUAUAGAACCUUGUUUCGCUUCUGAUGGUGGUGUUGAAUUAACCACUGGGGCAUUAGUAAUAUUUUUUAAAGGAGUUCGUUCUUCCAACUGAGUGCAUCGUUCUCCGUAGUUAUCUGCAUUCAUAUGAUGAGCAGUUGAGCAUACAUAAUUGCUUGUAUCCUUCAUAUGAUUAACCCUGUUUCUAAUCUCUUCUUUUAUACAUCUGAGGAGACCACAAAGGUAUCUAUAGUAUGUGCUUAGAACAGGAAACCACAUGAUUGCAGAUUUUGUACCUAUAUGUUAGGGGAAGACUUAUGGGCUGGUAUUUCCAACAGAGUGCCGAAACAGAGUCAUGCUGGCCGGCGAGGUUGAUCGUUAAAAGUUUCCAACUCAAAACUGCAGAUUUAGUUUAAACAACAUAAUAGGUUGUUAUAUAAACUAAAACUAAGAGCAUGAAUUUCGCAAAUUUAAUGCUUUGACUGACAAUAUUACUCUUAUGUAGAUAUACAAAGUUAUGAGACGAUAUGUACUGACUGAACUGAAAGUUUAGUUCAGUUUAGCUCUGAUCAAAUUACAGAGCUGCAGUUUUUUAGUCUCUAAUCUCAUAAAAAUAAAGAGAACAUCAUAUGUAAGUUUCUCAAAUGAGUAUAACUUCUGAACAAAUCAAAACAUAAUAUUAGGAACCAAGAACCAACUAACAAGAAUACAAAAGUAUGAAUAUGACCAUUCCACUUAUACAUCAGAUUCUGGUAUGCAGAUUCAUGACCGUACAUUAAUCCUUUGCCUUCCGGUGGCCUCUAUCUCUUCAUCACAGUUUGGGCAAAUACACAAACACCUAUGUGCACAAAAAUGCAUACCCUCCACAAGGGACAGAAAAUGUCAUCAUUUCGUUUUGAUUUGUAACAUGGAGAGAAUAGAUAGUUAUUUGCAAGAAGCAUCAACUUACAUGAUAAUCUCGUAUGAGAAAAAGAUCAAGAAAAUCGGAACCAGCGUGAAAAGAAAAAUAGCUGUGCAACGGACUCACCUGUACGUUAGGGCACUUCCGCUCCUCCCAGCCUAGAUCCCACGAGUUGCAAGCACUCAGAAGAAGAAGAUGGAAACCAAAUCGGUGUAGACAGCAGGUGGACGCAGCGGUGGGAUGUGGAGGGGAUGGAGAAACUGCUGUUUGGCGGCGUUGGGGUGUGGGCUGCGGAGUGGAAGGAGAAGCUGUUGUUUGGCGCGCUGGCUCGUGUUGGCUCCCAGACCGGUUUCGCGCGCGGGUGAUUUUGAUUUUCCAGAGAGUCACGUGAGGAGCCAUCGCGAAGGUGCUGGCAAAUUCCACACAGGUGGGAACUGGGAAGAGGUGGGCGAAUCCAGCAAAGAUGGACCGUCAGAUCUGGUAAUGUUAGCGUGCGAUGGAGGGUGGAUGUUAAUACAGAGGAAGAAAUCAACGGUUGAAAUUGAUUUCAUCUCUCUCUCUCUCUAGCGGGAAAGACUGGAGCCGAGGUGGUAAAUCCAAAAUUUGAACUGGUACACUAUAGGAGUAUAUAUAUAUAUAUAGAAGGGAGUGCCUAGAACUCAUCGAUGAUAUUUAAAAUGGUCUUAUUCAGGUGACGUGUAGAUGACAUCACUGUUUGUUGUUCCAGGUCGUUUUUGUUUCAGGCUGGACCAUAGUUUGUUUGUUCAAUGGGCCAAUGUUGGCGGGCUGAUCAUCGUGCCUUCGUGUGGGCUAUUUUAGUUUGUUUGUCUGUGCGGUUGUCUGUGGGUUGUGACUUGUGAGCCUUUUUAGUUUUUUUCUUGGGCCCGUGUACAACGACAAAAGUUCUUUAUUGUUUGACGUUGACGAGGGUGCCUAGAAACAUGGAGCAGCUAAGCCCGUACUCUGGUUUUGUGAUCAUUUUCCCAUUGUUGUUUUUAGUUUUUUUGUGCCAGAUAUUAUUAACUUUUUCAAACAAAUCUUCUAAAAAGGAAAUGUUACACAGCUAGAAAAGGAAAAACAUACUGUGAAAAAUACGGAAAUAUGUAAGUACAUAAAAAAGUUUAUUGCAUAAUAUAUUCACCGUGUAUUUUUUAGAAAAUGUCAGGUAUCAAAAAAGUGCACCGAGUAUUUGGAAAGAGUUUGACACCAUGUAUUCACCAUGUACUUGGAAAAAGUUGCAUUUUGCAGGUUGGGGCGACUACAACUACAACAAAAAUAUAUAAAAAAGAGAAAAACUUUGUUGCCGCCGACAACCCCCCGACCCCUGAUUGUGGUCAUAUUAUAUGUCUUACAGUUGCGGUUGGGUGGGGUGGUUGCAACUAAUACAACAAAAAAUUAAAUGAGAAGACUUCGCUGGCGCUGACAAACCUCCUCCCGACCCCCAGUUGCGGCCACAUUAUACGUCUUGCAGGUGCACUUGGUUAUGUUGAGUUGCGGUUUGCGGUCGAAUUGUGGCGAUUGCAACCACAAAACAAAGAAGGCCUAAAAAAACUGAACCGAUUUCAUUUGCGCCCCGACCCUUGGUCAUGGUCAUAAUAAAUGUCGCGCUGUUAAGUUUGGGUGUGUUAAGUUUGCGAUUGCGCUCGGGAUCGGCGCCCCGACCCCGGUUGCGGUCAUGUUAUAUGGCUUGCAAUUGCGCUUGGGUGUGCUGACUUGCGAUUGCGCUUGGGUUGAGGCGGUUGCAACUACAAACCUCCGCCCCGACCCCCAGUUGCGGUCACGUUAUAUGUCUUGCAAUUGCGCUUGGGUGUGGUGUGUUGCGACUGCGCUCGGGUCAGGGCGGUUGCAACUACAACAAAAAAACUAACAAUAAAUAAAAAAUGGAACCGAUUUCAUUGGCGCCGACAACCCUCCGCCCCNNNNNNNNNNNNNNNNNNNNNNNNNNNNNNNNNNNNNNNNNNNNNNNNNNNNNNNNNNNNNNNNNNNNNNNNNNNNNNNNNNNNNNNNNNNNNNNNNNNNNNNNNNNNNNNNNNNNNNNNNNNNNNNNNNNNNNNNNNNNNNNNNNNNNNNNNNNNNNNNNNNNNNNNNNNNNNNNNNNNNNNNNNNNNNNNNNNNNNNNNNNNNNNNNNNNNNNNNNNNNNNNNNNNNNNNNNNNNNNNNNNNNNNNNNNNNNNNNNNNNNNNNNNNNNNNNNNNNNNNNNNNNNNNNNNNNNNNNNNNNNNNNNNNNNNNNNNNNNNNNNNNNNNNNNNNNNNNNNNNNNNNNNNNNNNNNNNNNNNNNNNNNNNNNNNNNNNNNNNNNNNNNNNNNNNNNNNNNNNNNNNNNNNNNNNNNNNNNNNNNNNNNNNNNNNNNNNNNNNNNNNNNNNNNNNNNNNNNNNNNNNNNNNNNNNNNNNNNNNNNNNNNNNNNNNNNNNNNNNNNNNNNNNNNNNNNNNNNNNNNNNNNNNNNNNNNNNNNNNNNNNNNNNNNNNNNNNNNNNNNNNNNNNNNNNNNNNNNNNNNNNNNNNNNNNNNNNNNNNNNNNNNNNNNNNNNNNNNNNNNNNNNNNNNNNNNNNNNNNNNNNNNNNNNNNNNNNNNNNNNNNNNNNNNNNNNNNNNNNNNNNNNNNNNNNNNNNNNNNNNNNNNNNNNNNNNNNNNNNNNNNNNNNNNNNNNNNNNNNNNNNNNNNNNNNNNNNNNNNNNNNNNNNNNNNNNNNNNNNNNNNNNNNNNNNNNNNNNNNNNNNNNNNNNNNNNNNNNNNNNNNNNNNNNNNNNNNNNNNNNNNNNNNNNNNNNNNNNNNNNNNNNNNNNNNNNNNNNNNNNNNNNNNNNNNNNNNNNNNNNNNNNNNNNNNNNNNNNNNNNNNNNNNNNNNNNNNNNNNNNNNNNNNNNNNNNNNNNNNNNNNNNNNNNNNNNNNNNNNNNNNNNNNNNNNNNNNNNNNNNNNNNNNNNNNNNNNNNNNNNNNNNNNNNNNNNNNNNNNNNNNNNNNNNNNNNNNNNNNNNNNNNNNNNNNNNNNNNNNNNNNNNNNNNNNAUCGGCGCCGACAACCCUCGGCCCCGACCCUCCGGUUGCAGUCACGUUAUAUGUCUUGCAAUUGCGCUUGGGCGUGCUGAGUUGCGAUUGCGCUCGGGUUGGGCGGUUGCAACUUCAAACAAAAAAAACUCCUAAACAAAAAUAAAAAAUGGAACAACCCGGAAAAAGAAAAGAAAAAUAGAAAAAUGGAACAAGAUUUCCACCUGUAGAGACAAAGAAAAACCCGCCGCGCUCUAUGUAUUGCAGCCGCCAACGAUAAGAAGAAGAAAAAGGAGUCUUGUCGUAUAUUGUAGUAGUAUAUAGGUACCUUCUCUCUUAACCGAUCCAUCCACAUGCACAUCCACAUCAGGGUCCGACGGAAGUGCGAGGAGGCUGCAGCCCAUACAACAAAAAACAACAGAUGGGCUGCCAGCGGGACAACACAUGGGCCGCGCCACCCCGUCGGGCGAAGUCUCCACCUGGACACACAAAUCGUGGAGCGUUUCGAUCUGACGGCCACAAAAACGAAUGAACCAAAGAAAAAAACAUUCGAAUGAGUUUUAGCAAAUCCGUAUAUAGAAAUUCUACUAGGACAGAUGCCUGUGCGUUGCAACAGGACAGAAAAUUGUCAACUCGCUAAAAUUUAGUAAGCAUUGUAUAGAACUUCAUCCAUCAAAACUUCAUGACAAGUAAGAAGAAAACCACUCAGGUUGUUUGCUCAUCGCACUUCACAAACACAGUACAUGCCACACGCAAUAAAUCAGUAUAUGACUGAUUUGUGCACCAUAUACCAGUCAUACAUAAUCAUAGUUCCUAUGAAAAUUGGUACAUAUGCGAAAACCCUCUAUAUCUACAUCAUUAUUCUAUCUAUGUAAAAUAAAUACAACAAUGAUCACCAUGUACAAUAUGGCCAUACAACAAUCUGCACCUCUUUCUUCUACCAUAUUCUAUCUAUCUCGGUCAACUAUACAAAAAAAAUACAUACAACAAAAUCUGUAAGCAAGGUCAGUUUUAUCUACACAACAAUCUGUACGCAAGGUCAUAUUUAUCUAUCUUCUAUUCCUGCAAGUAUGCAGUUAUGCACAUACUUUUCUUCAUACAGUAGCAGAAGGUUGCAUUAUAUUCAUACAACAAUGGCAACACAGAGCAACCUCCUCUUUACCGUUUGAUUUUGCAUCAGCUUCCACGACAUGUUUAGCAGCUUCUGCUUAGUGUAAUCUCAAAAUUAUUUGGAGAAAACUACAGCUUCAUGGGAAAGCGAAAUAAUAGAUUUACGAAGAGGGAUAUUCCUUUUAUUGAGCAACAAAAAAAGUUAUCCUAAAACAGAAUAAAAUGCCAACAAAUUUACUUGCUGGCACGUUGGCAACGGUAUGAUCCCACAGAAUAGAUAUUGUUCAAGUAAGGUCAUUGCUGGCAGGUUUGAUCCACAAAAUAACUGACAUCAGAUCCUCACUUGUGAGUAAAUUAAGAAGUUUGUCAUUACCACAGAGAAACUAAGUUGUCAACAUCAAAGAGUUUCCUUUUCACUUUCCUAACCAACCAUCCAAACAAUCAACAGUAAAUCUAUAAAUUUGAUUGAACUAACCAAACACUGAUAGGUCAAGUAGUUGAAACGAUAAUAUCUUUAUGUCAUAGAUAUCCAACAUAUAUGCUUCUAUCCUUGAUGCCUAAUGUCAUGAACCAUGAUGGAUGUCCAAUUUGACGGUGCCACAGAUUAGAAAGAAAAUCUUGCUACAAUGAAUAUUGUAAUCUUACACCAUGUAGAAUUACUUUAUGCAAAACCUCCUCUCAUAACUUGCUAAUUUUAAAUGAAUAAUCUCAUCUUUGUAUUAGUUUGUUGGAAUUUUGAAGCUUGGGGCUAAUUUCUAAGAUCUUGAAAUUGUCUCAAAUGACAUGGUGCGCACGUGAAAAAGCAACAUAUAUUCGCUAAUUCAGUUUAACAAAAACUGUAAGCUAUGCCAAUCAUGCUAAACAGCAGCAUGUUUUGAUGCGAUUAGACACUGAGCUCUGGCCUCUAGAAAAAAACCGAGUUGCCCCAAACAUAUACCACACAGGCAACCUCAUUAAGUGAUAUGCCACAUAAUUAAUAAGAAAAUUUAUAUGAACAACCUAAGCCAACAUGCCGUAACUAAAUUUAAGUAUGAGACAGAAUUAAUGCUGCUGUCACGGGCCUAUAUUUGGUGGUUGAUUGGCUGGAAAUUCAUGAUUUUAUUUCUUCCUAGCCAAUGGUUUUUUUACUGCACAAAAUGCAUCCCAUAUGAAAAUGAAUUCCGAAUCCAGAUGGAGCGCCAGUUGACAGCAACUUGCAUCUGCUCUUUUGUGCCUCUUUGUUGGCUACAACAUUACAAAAUAUCCGUGUGUGUAUCCUACUACAGUAUAUAUGAAUAGAAACAACUCAACUUGUCAUGUGUUGAGAAUAAAUAAGGAUGCAAUAUCUAACAAGUAGGUGAAAUAGCUUGCCGCGCAUUGCCUGCCUUCUACGAGGCAAGAAUAGCAAGAGAAAUAGUUUCAAAACUCCAAAACAACAACUGCCGUAUGCCUUUUCAAAACACCAUCGAAUAAUGUGCAUGAAAAAAGAAGUUCAAAAGACCAGGAGAUACUCAACUGGACCCAACAAAAGCUAAUUACCUAUACAGUAUACGUGGAUCAGUUCUAAUGGCUAUAUAGUAGCGGAGGUAAUUAAGCAGCAAGAUAGUUAUUACUAUACCUGGAAUUAAGGUUGAAUGAGGUCCACUUCAGGCCGCAUCAGUUGUUCUGUAUCCGCUGUUGACGCCGUUGAGACGGUGUUGAUUCCUUCAGUGAUGGCACGCUGAUAUAAAUCCCCUAUUUUCCGAGAAAGAAGAUUGUAGACACUAACUGAUGAUCGUACCUUGCAGUGAGAGAAGUACUUGUUCAUCUCCUCGCACUCGCAGCACGAAGCUUCUCAAUAUUCUCAGGUUUUUUCAAGCACUACAUGAGGUUGUGAGCUACCAAAAAAAUACUAUGAAACAUCAACAACGCUAGUAACUGUCAACACUUAUCAAUCAACAAUAUCCACUUUAAAUGCAGGCAAAGCAUCCCAAUUCAGUAAAAAAAAUCUUUAACUGAGGAACUCAGCCGGUCGUGCUAAAAGAGGAACCUGCUCGCAAUAUUCAUCAGUAAUUGCUGCUGCAAAGUCAAUCACUUACCUGUUGUCGCAUAGGCAUUCCAACAAACACUGGCUGUGCACCACCCAAACAAUCACGACAGCUAGCUUUACACCAUCGGAGUGGCAUGAUGCACGGAAUAGGAACAGUCAUAGAUGAGAGCGAUCCGGCAAUGUGUUCCCAUAGCUGAGACAUCCGAGACCACGCUUGUGCGGGGCCUGUGUGUCCGGUGCCAACCAAGGCAAAGCAGUAAUGAAGUGAGGGCCACACUGGUCUAAGUUGUCCCGCCUCCUUCUCUUCUCUCCAUCUCACCUCCUCUCUCUCCCUCGUCUCUUCUUCCCAGGAGGCCAAGCUGCCAGGUGUCGCAAACAGUUUUCAUCGGACAAAAGCAAAGUAGUUGUACAGUACGUAAAAUAUGGCAAAAGGUGCGCGCACACUGAAGUAACUAUCAUCAAGUUUCAGGUUCUGUAAAUUUGCAUCACAACUGUUUAUUCAUGAAUUUUCAAUCUUGGAAAACCGAUUGCCCUAUUCAUCUUGGACUUGGACAAAGAUUGUUAGACAAAGGUUCCAAAUGUUAUUUAAUUCACUACGACUUCAACACUCUAAAUUUGCUUACACAUGAAAUGAACUUGAAACAAAAUCUAGCAUGAUAGAAACACAAACAAUACAUUAAUGAUCUGGACUGUGAUACUUGAGAUAAAUUAUACGAGUAUUUGAUCAAUAGCAGAUUAUUGAAGGAUGCAAAGUUUUACUUGCCUGUGAGUGGGCAUAGGAGCGCCUGGUGAGGAAGUUGAAUGGCGUCGAGGUAGCAAAUUUUUGCGGCGCCAGGCCGCCACUAUAUUACUUGUGGAAGCCUCGCAGACAGAGGCGGCGCCUGACCCGCUUGAAACAACGGGGUACAACUCCUUUGCUAAAUUAACGACUGCGAGAUAAAGUCAUGUACUGGGAAUUUACAUGAUGGAUUGAUGCUAAGUCAGAACUUGGAAACUGAGCCUCAAUGGUUGGAGAGGAACACUGUCAGGAGAGUUGGACAUGUUUGAUUAGAUCAUUCCUACUAAAUAAACCAUCAUAAAAUAAAAUCAUGUACUGGAAUAUACAUAUUGGAUUUCUAAACUUGAAAACUGAGUUUCAAAGGUUGGAGAUGAACACGAGGACAGCUGGACACAUUUGAUUGGAUCAUACAUACUAAUCAACCACCAUUGAAUAAAAAUCCUGGUUCUGCUCUUCUCCUUUUAUUCCAGAUUAACGCGGGGAUGCUUUGGAGUGGGUAAUCAUCAUAGAUACGGAGAUAAACAAAAAGUGUGCAACUGAUACCAAUUUACAGAAUGUUUCUAAAGUAUCCAAUGACAAAUAACUGCAGGGACCUGCAAAAUAGAAAAUCAAGUUAAUAAAAGUUAUCUACAUAUAAGUUGUAAUAUUAUUUAAUAAUUGAAGUCUUGAUUUAAUGAGACAAACUACAAUGGCCCUAACACUCUGCUUGAACUACACUAAUUAUGAUUUAUGAAUGAACAGAGAUCAAUUCCAAUUGUGUAACCGUGAAAGACCAUCUCUACUUUUGUAGUGCUCUAGCUCUAGAAAAGCAGUCCAUCAUAGUUGUACUGAUUCUCGUCAGUAACAGCAAAAGCUAAUCCCAACCGAAGAGUAUAAUAUAGUUGUCGGGAACCUGCUAGUACACAUCCCAACUGGAUCGAGCAUUACCCGGGGUAGGCCGGCUGGACGCAGAGGUGGCCGGGGUAGACCUUGGCGCGGUUGCGCCUUGUGCUCGAUGCGCUGGAGGCGCGUCUCCCUCGAGCACAUGAAGAGGAG
RNAcentral lists this long non-coding RNA (55847 nucleotides) under Triticum aestivum (bread wheat). RNAcentral describes it as "long non-coding RNA (TAES_LNC027978)". The stretch from base 24539 to 24663 matches the Rfam family "MIR1120/MIR1122 microRNA precursor family". Lineage: Eukaryota; Viridiplantae; Streptophyta; Magnoliopsida; Poales; Poaceae. The record is from RNAcentral.